This 66543-nucleotide long non-coding RNA is filed under the name Brassica napus (rape). RNAcentral's name for it is "long non-coding RNA (BNAP_LNC023664)". The record is from RNAcentral. Lineage: Eukaryota; Viridiplantae; Streptophyta; Magnoliopsida; Brassicales; Brassicaceae.
CCUUAUAUUCUCUCCUAGCCAAUCCAGCCUUACCUGUACUGAUCUCAUCAUCCGAGACUGAUGGCCCCUUUCCAUCGGAUCAUGUGCAUCUCAGUCCUCUGAAUUCUCCAUCUUUUCGGACUCUUUCACCUGUGAAUAGUCCCAUUCCUGCUCCACCAUAUCAUACAAGACAUCAGAAGUCUUCAUCCGGUAAGAUUCCUUCACCUAACAUUAGUCCAAUUCCGGUUCCACCUGAUCAUACUCUUUCGAGACAUCAGCAUUCUUCAUCCCAUCAGAGUUCCUCACCUGUCAACGGUCCCAUUCCCGCUCCACUCAAUUCAUCCCCAGUCACAACGUCAACAUUAAGGACGCAGAUCAGAGAUGAUGAGCAGAGGUGUGAUCUUUUCAAAGGGGAAUGGAUACCAAACGAAGAAUCACCAUACUAUAACAACGCGACUUGCUGGGCGAUACAGGAGCACCAGAACUGCAUGAAGUUCGGGAGACCGGACACCGGGUUCAUGAGAUGGAGGUGGAAGCCGGACGGCUGCGACCUCCCCAUCUUUGAUCCUAAUGAGUUUUUAGAAAUGGUUAGAGGCAAAUCCAUGGGGUUUGUUGGUGAUUCCAUUAGCAGAAACCAAGUCCAGUCUCUCUUGUGCCUUCUCUCUAGGGUACAAAAAUCCAAUCUAGUCUUCAAUGAUAACUAACAUCUCUCUCUAAGUGUUGACUUUUUUCAUUUCCUUGUAGGUGGAAUAUCCUGAAGACAUUUCUUCUUCACCAGAUAUAGCUUUCAAAGUAUGGAACUACACAUCCUAUAACUUCAUUCUACAUGUCAUGUGGUCACCGUAUCUAGUGAAGACUACUAAACCUGACCCUACAGACGCCAAGUCCAACUUCUUUAGUCUAUACCUCGACCAGUAUGACACCAAGUGGACGAGUCAGAUCAACCAGCUUGACUACCUGAUUAUAUCAUCAGGCCACUGGUUUUACCGGCCUCUUAUUUUCUACGAAAACGAAAAACUCUCCGGAUGCCAAUACUGUUCGUUACCAAACACAACUGAGUUGCCUUUUCACUAUGGAUACACGAAGGCUUUAAGAACAUCUCUAAGAGCUAUACUCGAGAAUUUCACUGGUUUGGCAAUUUUGAGGAGUUUUUCUCCUCAGCAUUUUGAAGGUGGGCCGUGGAACAAGGGAGGGGACUGUGCAAGGACACAACCAUACAGAAGAAACGAGACGAUACCCGAAGUUUCAGAUCUCAAGAUUCACGACAUUCAACUGGAGGAAUUUAGAGCUGCAGAAGAAGGGAUGAAGAAGAAGAUGGGUUUGAGACUGAGGCUGAUGAACACGACGCAAGCAAUGCUACUUCGACCAGAUGGGCAUCCUGGGAGAUAUGGCCAUCUCCAGACUGAAGAGGUGAGUUCAAGAAAUGAUUGUAUCCAUUGGUGCCUGCCUGGACCGAUUGAUACUUGGAACGAUAUUUUGCUGCAAAUGAUGAAGACAGAAAAAUAAAAACCAUCCCUCAAGAAUAGGUAGAUGAGACUUAUAUCUUAAAUCAACAAAAGAAAUUGCAAAGAAAGAUUUUUGUAGGAGUCUCAGUAUUUGUGUUUGUUAUGUAUUCACUAUUCAUAUGCAAACACGAAAAACCAUUUGCGAACAAUGAUCAUAUAUAUCCCCUACAAAUUUUAUACGGAGUAUUGGGUUCCUACUGAAAAUAAGCUAUCUAACAUAGCUUUUUGGGCUUUCUAUAUGUUGGAGACUUGACAGUUCUGACUGGUGAUAAACUAGUAACAUUGACAACAUGUCAGACUGAAGUAUCACGUGUGAGAACAUGAACAGACAGAGAAGCUUCUUGCUCAGGUUUCAAGUUUUCAUCAUCGUCUUCUAGCUCCUGCAACCCCAUAUUAUAUCAAGCAGUUCCAAAGGACCAACUUUCAAAUUCAAAGUACCAUUUUAUAUCUUAUAACUUACCUUCAACUUUGUAAGAAGAGAAUCUCUGCCUCAUGUCUCUUCUCUUCUAUCUUUAUCUCACAAGAUUGACAUCGCAUUCUCAUAUGCACUAUUCUCUUCUACCAGCGUCUGCUCUCUCAUUUGAGCCUCGUUUCAGAAAGAAGAUCGAUCACUCAAUGAGAGAUAUUCAAUAACUCAUAUCGAUCAAGCUCACCUGUUCACGAGUAGCGGAGUGCGAAUCAAGCUGAAAGAGUGAGGCAGUGGGCAUGAAGGUGAGGCAGACGCGGGGCGAUAUCCGGUGGAAGCAAUCUGAUCCGUAGAUCUUGGAUCGAACGGCUGAAUGUUGUCGCUUUUCGGCCAAGCUCAUCGACGUAUUUCUGGUCUAAUAACACACAAACAAGACUCACGGGGCGAUCGCAGAGCUAAACAGAAGCGGUUGGUGUUUAAACCGGUUCGGUUUGAUUGUGAUAGCUCAUUGGUACGGGUUUGGAUUAAAUUGGGUCUGAAAUAGAAGAGAACGUAACGUGCGAAAUGGCUUCUUUAUCCAUCGACCAUCGUAUGUAUGGGAUAGAUAAUGGGUCUUCACUCUUCAGAAAGAAGGCCUUUGAAAAAGAUAAAUUUAAACGCAAACUUAAGGAAAAUUGGACAAUUAGUGGAUAAACACGUGAAGCAAAACAAGAAAACGUUGAUGUCACAUAAGCUUCUAAUUAUCUGUCCAGACAAAAUUCUACAAAUAAAUAUUCAUAAACUUACCCUAUUAAGAAUUUGUUAAAUACUCUCUCUGUAUCAUUUUAAGAGGUGUUUAAGGUUUUUGCACAAAUAUUAAGAAAAUACAAACUUUUAUGAAAUUAGUUUUGAUAACAUAAAAUAACAUUAAAUAAAACUAAUUCAACCAAUAAGAAAAAGAUGCCGCAUGUUUGUAAUUUGCCAUACAAAUAAACCAAUAAAUGAUUUUCUUAUCCUUUUCUAAUUGGUGCAAUAGGAGCCUACAAAAAUAAUGCAUUGCCGCGUGUUUGUAAUUUGCCUUUGCUUGCAAUCAACCCUCUUCCCCGUUCCUAAGCAAAACAUCAAAUCAGAAAAAUCUCAAGCAUCUGCCAAAACUAUCCACAAAACAAGGAAUUUUGUUAAAUAACCAAUCCAAACAUUGUAAUAUUCGAUCACAUAGUUAAGUAAACAGUUUGAUUCAAAAUACAAACAACAUUCCUACAAAAUGUUGUAAUACUGUAGUGAAAUUCACAUUCGUAAUGUUCCACUUUGAUUCAUUUGGGUAUUGCCUCGAUAUCUUGUUUAGGUUUAGCAUCUAGCAAGUCUCCUGCACGCUCCCAACACCUUAGCUUGUAAACCAUCCUUUUAUUUUAUUUUCAUCUAAGCCAACUAAUCUUAUAAAUUUUUAAAAUAUCCCAUUAUAAAUUUCUUUCUAACCAAACACACCCCACGAGUCAAGACGUGUCAAUUUACCAAAUCCGCAUUUAUCUCUUUCUCCUCUUGACUAAGCAAGAUGUUAAAGAAAGUGAGGCGAAAGGUCAAAGCCUUCGUCACCAAACCCUUUAAAAAGCCUAGCAGACCUUCAAGACCUCCAUCAUCACCAGAGCAACCACCACCACCACCUACUCAUCCUCUUUCUCAACCACCAUCUCCGCCGCCUCAAGAGAUGUCUUCCUCGAGACAAAGGAACGCUCCGUUUCUCUUCCCGAGAUCCGAAUCAUCCGUCUUACCCGACCCGUCUCGUUUCUUCAGCCACGAUCUCCUCUCAACUCCUCUCCCCACAAACUCCUUCUUCCAAAACUUCACUCUCAAAAACGGCGACCAAGCCGAAUACUUUCACCCUUACAUCAUCAAACCAUCUCCUUCAUCUCUCUCCAUCUCGUACCCAUCUCUUUCACACAACUCCGCCUUCAUCUUCGAGGCUUUCAACGCCGACAUCACCGUCUCCGGGUCAGACGGACCCGACCCGCAUUCAAGAAAGACUCAUCUGAUCUCUUCCUUCAGCGAUCUCGGCGUCACUCUCGAUUUCCCUUCCCCUAAUCUCAGAUUCUUCCUCGUCAGAGGAAGCCCCUUCAUCACCUGCUCUGUCUCCGGCACCUCCUCGAUCACAAUCUCAACGAUCCACGCGGUUUUGUCCUUUUCCGGUAACAGCUCGUCCACCAAGUACACCGCCAAGCUCAACAACAACCAGACCUGGCUGAUCUACGCCUCUUCCCCGGUUCACUUAAAUCAAACCGGAGGCUCUUCGAUUAACUGCGGUGCUGGAUUUUCCGGUAUUCUCCGGUUCGCCGUGCUACCUGAUCCAAACCCGGAUUUUGAAUCAAUCCUCGACCGGUUUAGCUGCUGUUACCCAGUCUCCGGCGACGCUGAUCUCACAAAGCCGUUCACUUUGGAGUAUAACUGGGAGAAGAGAGGCUACGGAGACCUCCUGAUGCUCGCUCACCCUCUCCACCUCAAGCUUUUAUCGACCCACGAUUGCUCGAUCGCCGUCCUAGAGAGCUUCCGUUACAGAAGCAUCGACGGAGAUCUUGUAGGCGUCGUCGGAGAUUCGUGGGUUCUGAGACCCGACCCCGUUUCGGUGACGUGGCACUCCAUCAAAGGAGUCGAUGAAGAUCGUCGCGAAGAGAUCAUCUCCGCUCUCGUCAAAGACGUAAACGCCUUGGACUCCUCCGCUCCGGUGACGAGCUCUUCCUACUUCUACGCGAAGCUGAUCGCGAGAGCCGCGAGGUUGGCUCUGAUCGCCGAAGAAGUCUGCUAUUUGGAUGUGAUUCCGGCUAUCAGGAAGUAUCUGAAGAGCAUGAUCGAGCCGUGGCUAGACGGGACUUUCGAGCCGAACGGGUUCCUCUACGAUCCCACGUGGGGAGGCGUGAUCACGAAGCAAGGGUCGAGAGACUCGGGAGCCGAUUUCGGGUUCGGGAUUUACAACGACCACCAUUACCAUCUCGGCUACUUCCUCUACGCGAUUGCUGUGAUGGCCAAGAUCGAUCCUUUGUGGGGGAAGAGGUACGGGCCUCAGGCGUAUGCUCUGAUGGCGGACUUCAUGACGUUGGGGAAGAAGAAGAUGAAGAAAGGAGCGAGCUUUAAUUCUAAUUCGGUUUACCCGCGGUUGAGAUGUUUUGAUCUCUUCAAGCUUCAUUCUUGGGCUGGGGGGUUGACGGAGUUCGCCGACGGGAGGAAUCAGGAGAGCACGAGCGAGGCUGUUAACGCUUAUUACUCCGCUGCUUUGUUGGGGCUGGCUUACGGCGAUACGCAUCUGGUGGCGGCGGCUUCGACGGUUUUGACGUUGGAGAUUCACGCCGCGAGGAUGUGGUGGCAGGUACCGGUUUUAAUCUUAGAUAAAAUCGAAUUGAACCGGAUAAGUUGAUUUUAACCGCUCAAACCGAGAAUGUUUGAUAUGAUAAGUUGAUUAACCAAAUGAAUCCUAUUCGGUUCAGUUUGGUAAGUUAAUAGGUUUAGCUGGGUUAUCUUUGGGUCGAUUGGGUAUAGUAAAACGUAAGUUUCGUUUGGAUGUAUUACCAAAACACAAACCAGUACGGUUCAUGCCACAUUCGGUUUAAUUUUGGUUCUGGCUCUAGUUCGGAUUGAUUUGUAGACUUAUGGUUUAAUUGAUAGAAAUCCAAAUUGAAAUGGUUUAAUUGGGUUUAUCCUUGGUUCGAUUUGGUUUUAAGUAAAACUUAAGUAUCUCGUCUUGGUGGUGGCAGGUGAAAGAAGGCGACACUAUUUACCCGGCAGACUUCACGGCGGAGAAUCGUGUGGUUGGGGUAUUAUGGUCAACGAAGAGAGACAGUGGCUUAUGGUUCGCGCCAAAGGAAUGGAAAGAGUAAAGACAGACAGUGGCUUAUGGUUUGCGCCAAAGGAAUGGAAAGAGUGUCGGCUUGGGAUACAGUUAUUACCGAUACUCCCAGUGUCGGAGAUUCUGUUCUCGGAUGUGAAGUUCGUGAAGCAGCUCGUGAAUUGGACCAUGCCGGCGUUGUCGAGAGAAGGCGUCGGAGAAGGGUGGAAAGGGUUUGUGUAUGCUUUGGAAAGUAUUUAUGACAAAGAUGGAGCGAUGGAGAAGGUUAGAGGAUUAAAUGGGCAUGAUGAUGGGAACUCUCUGAGUAAUCUGUUGUGGUGGAUUCAUAGUAGAGGUGGUGAUGAUGAUGACGACGACGAAGGUGGGUACGGUGGUCAUGGUGGUGGCGGGAAGUAUUGUUCAUUUGGUCAUUAUUGUAAUUAGUUGCUGGCUUUUUGGUUUGUUAAAUAAAGGGACACAAUGUUUAAUAUAUUGGGCUUAAGAUUCUUAAUCAGUCUAUUACUUGUGUUGGGUUUCAAAAUCUUAAACAUUGUGGAUCCACCAAUUUUAUUUGAACCCAUGUCUAGGCCAGGGCAUUCGUUUCGGUUUUGUCCAAUCGGAUGUUGAUUUUUCGGAUUUAUCAAAAUCACCUCCAUUCUGAUUAUAUGAAAGUUUGGUUCAAGACCGAUUCAGGAUAGAAAAUUUUCAAAAACCGGUACAACAUGAUGUAUUUUCAGGUUUGGGUCUCAAUUCAUUUUUUUGGUUUAAAUCUACCAUAUUUGUAUCUACUUUGUAAUCAAAACAUAAGUAAAAUCGAUUCUUCGGUUUAAAAUACCUGAUUUAUAUAUAUUUUGUAACCAAAAUAUAAAUAAAAUCGAUUCAAAAAUAAGAAACGAACAUCAACCGUGAUCAUUCAAAAUCAAACGAAAGGUAAACAUAGUUAUGGAUAGAAUGAAAACCGAAUAAAUGAAAGCAUAAAACGAAAACUAAAUUUUCAUGAAAUGAAAAAUAUUAUUCAACAAAAACAAAACCAAAAUCUUAAAACUUCAAGUUUUAACCGCCAUUUUCAACCACCAACCUUCAUGUAAUAGAUAAUUAUUUUAGAUGUAAUAUAUUUUGGAUAUAUAUUAUGAAUUGAGAUCAUGUUUGGUACAAGUUCUUCUUUGGAAUUUUGAAUGUUUCUGGUUUUAUCGGAUAUCCAUUUAGGUUCGGUUCAGAUAAUACUUAUAACCCGAAAUACGAUAAAACAAGAUCCAUUCAGUAUUAAUGUUGGAUCAGUUCAGAUUCUUUUUUAUCGGAUAGGAUUCGGUUCAGGUUGUGGGGUUAGGAAUUUACUUCCCCAAAUUUGAAAUCUACUAAAGCUAAGAUUGAUAAGAUCGAGUUAUAUUAUAUUCUCAAAAGGGUGACAAGAGAUCAGCAGUGACAAAACUCAUCCGUUUUGUCAAAGAAUAAUGAUGGUGAUCAUAUGCAAAUUGGGUUUGUAUAAACGUUACAUACAAAUAGGUGAUGUUGAUAUCAUUAUUCCGUAUACACGUUUGGACCGACCAUUUGCUGCAACAUGUGGUUCAUGUUCUUCUUAUCUUUAGGCUCUAAUCGACUUGCCAGGUUCCAAUUGGCUCCUCGGAUCUCCACCGUUUGCCACAUCCGCUUGACCGACUUGAUAUGCAAGCAAACAAAAUCAGGACAUUGCCAUGUUAUCGUUUACAACAUCACUAAAGAAGACAACAUCAUACGACGAUAACAAAUUAUUAAGAGACAUCACUUUCUUAACAAUGCUAAACACUUUCCUUUAAUAGAAACACGGAAACUUUAUUUUAAAACAUUCCGAAAAGAUGCCAGCUGCAAUCACCUAUGGAACCAUGAUCGUAAUGCGACGCCUCUGGGAAUCAUGGACAGUUAAAACAUAAUUAAGUCAAGAAUCAAGAUAAAACAGUCAAUGGCUGAUGGCCAAAGCCCAAGUUUCCAGCUUUACCAAAAUAGUAAUAUACAAUACGAUCCAUCACGUGCCAUAACCUACGCAACAUGUUAAUGGGUCAUAUAGGGAGAGAGUAGUAAACUCUUGGUGUAGCUUUCUUCUCCAGUGUUGAUAAGAUAUAACAUAUAAGGAGACUAGUAGUUUUUUCAACUUUUUCCUCAGAGAGUUGAUGAUUCCAAAAGCCAAUGUCAGCAUCUGUGGACUGGACCCUAUACACAGAAACACAGCCAGCCACAAGAUAAUCACACAACUUUUCAAGACCACUAACUUCUCGCCAAGUGUCAGCCCCUCCAAGAUUCUAUCCUUCCCUUUUGCCUUCUUAGUCCCUUGCCUCCAUUUACAAUCUUCCCUCACCAACAACAAACUAGUUCCAUCUGAGUUAAAACAUGUUGAAACAAGAGAGUAACUGGGCACAAACCUGUGACACAUGCCGAUCAGCCGCAUGCACUGUCUACUGCCGAGCUGAUUCUGCCUACUUAUGCACAAACUGUGAUGCUCAAGUUCAUGCAGCCAAUCGGCUCGCUUCCCGCCACGAACGUGUUAGAGUCUGUCAAUCAUGUGAGCGAGCCCCGGCUGCCUUCUUCUGCAAGGCAGAUGCUGCUUCUCUAUGCACAGCCUGUGAUUCACAGAUUCAUUCCGCAAACCCACUUGCUAGACGCCACCAACGUGUUCCGAUUCUGCCAAUCUCUGGUUCCAUGGUCACUAACCAUUCGAGUGAGACGACAGAGACAGAGGACAUAGUGGUGGUGGGACAAGAAGAAGAAGAUGAAGCAGAAGCGGCUUCUUGGUUGUUGCAUAGUUCAGUUAAAAACAGUGGUGACAACAACAACAACAACAACAACAGUGAGAAUAGGUUCUCGGUUGGUGACGAGUAUGUGGACCUUGUCGAUUACAAUAAGUAUCAACAAGACUACAACGUACCUCAGAGGAGCUAUGUGGCAGAUGGGGUUGUUCCACUUCAAGUUGGAGUAUUAAAGAGUCACAUGCACCACGAGGAACACAACUUUCAGUUUGGUUUCACUAAUGUCUCCUCAGAAGCUUCCCCAAUUCAUAUGGUUAGUCUUGUGCCAGAGUCAACACUGAGUGAGACAACAGUAUCACACCCAAGAUCGCCCAAAGUGGCAACGGAGGAGCUACAUGACGCUCCAGUUCAGAUGCUGAGUCCAGUAGAGAGAAAGGCUAGGGUCAUGAGGUAUAGAGAGAAGAAGAAGACAAGGAAGUUUGAGAAGAGGAUAAGGUAUGCUUCAAGGAAAGAGUAUGCAGAGAAAAGACCAAGGAUCAAAGGCCGGUUUGCAAAGAGGAAUGAAGUUGAUGCAGAGGAGGCAGACAAAGCUUUCUCCUCAAUGGUCAUGUUUGACACAGGAUAUGGAAUUGUUCCUUCAUUCUGAUAAUACUCCUAUGGUUCAACUAGAUUCCAUGCUUGUAAAUGCAUUACUGGAAGUUAUGACCACUGUAAUGCAUAUAGGUCUCUAUUUUUGUCUAACUAGUACCAAUUAAUUAGAUAUAUUUAUAUUUUGCUGUUGUAUUUAAAACAGAAUUUUCACACAGUUACUAUCCUUCAAUCUAAGUUCACACCGAUAUGUGCGUUACUUUAGCUAGAUGUACCAAGAACAGUUAACAAUGAACUCACCUUGCAAAAAGGUUCAGACAAGUAGUGAUUGCUUUCUUGGUGACACUUCCACACCACUUUGAUAAACAAGUAGAAGAUAAAUGAUUCCACUUGUGUCUCCCUGAGAAAAUAAGGUUUUACACAAAUAUGAUUUUCCAAACAAUUACAUAGUUUAACUUUAGACAUACAACUUGGAAAAUUCAAUUUUAAAAAAAAAAGACAUCAUAACAUCACACAUUGAAUAGUCAUUUCCUGUAACAUACUUAGAAAAGUGGCAGUCAGAUCGCAAACAACCAAGAACCCGGAGUGAACAAAUGCUACUCUGUAAAAUUACAUCAAAAACAUAUUCUUGUUUCUGGUAAGCAUUGGAGAGCAUGGUUGUGUAACCAAACCCAUGCAUUCCCACCUGGCUCUCUCUGAUAAACAAGAAUCUAAACACCUUUAAUUUGUCCCAUCCAGUAUAUUAACACUCAUAAGUAACAAGCAACCACUGGCAGAAUAUGUCAAUGCCUAUGUUUAGUUACAUGCUCUAAAUCUAUUAGAAUAAAGGGCUAUAGUGUGUCACCUUUCCAAGGAAUAUAAUAGCAUUAAAGAAUAAGGAAGCAAAGAAAAAUAGAAGUGACACUGUAACUAAGCCUUCACUCUUUUUGCCCCACUGUAACUAAGCCCUCACCACUUUCCAUGGGUUAAGCUGAUGAAUUCCUGCACCAACCAAAAGAUUCGUUUUGGCCAUCACUGAGUGAGUGUUGAUAUCCAUAUGAAUUUAGCCACUAGAUUGAGUGUAAAAUAUAUAUGUUCUCUUUGGACCACAUAAAUGAAUCUCAUUCACCCACUGAAACCAGAAGUGUGACAACCCGCUACCACUGCAUUCAAAACCCAUCAGAAAAUCUAGUCUGUGAUCUGGUUUGAUCAUGUAGGCUGUAGCACAAACUUAUAAACCACUCAAGAAAAUGGACGAUAUCUCUGGUUACAUAUGAUAUUAGCAUAUCAUUAUCAACAAGGAAGCUAGUAGAGAGUUGAUCUAGAUAUCUUUCCAGGAAAUUUAAAGAUAUGCAAUAACAAUUUUAGGCUAAAUCCUAACGAGUGUAAAGAGCCAAUUGAAUGUUAACAUUUAGUUUUCUCUAGAUUUCUUUUCAGGAAAAUGAAGAUGCAAUAACAAUUAGUUUAAGUAUACUAGCAAAUGUAAGACCCACUUGAAUGCUAAUAUUUAGUGAUGGAUUCGAAACACGUGAAAGUGCAUAAAAGUGAUUACCUUUUGCCAAAGGUCUCUGCACUUUUGCACUUUUCCUCAGAUAGUUUUCUUACAGCCAUAUAAAGUGGAGAAUCCUACAUAGCUUACAAUUGCAAGCUUUGUAUGGUGGUCCCUGGACUCUAAGAUUCUAGGUUCUCUUAUCAGUCUUUUCAAGAAAAGAAGGUUUUCUAUUUAAAUCUGAAAGCUGAAAAAAAAUAAUGAAACAAAUAAGUGACAUAGUUUUUUCCCCUUAAUAUCUCUAAAACUGAGUCUAAUUGGCAUAAAAUUGAAUUUUCCUUCACAUAAUUCCAAUGCAACUUCCAUGUAAGGUGGAGCUCUACACUUGUGAAUGAAGUUCCAAACCACAGAUAGGCAAAGAGAAAUAAUAAGCAAAACUAUAUUUCUUGAACUACAAGUGAUAAAGGGCCAAUACACAACUCUCUUCAUGAGCUAGAACCACUAUAAAAUCCCCACUUUUUCAUAUCAUUAAUGUAAUGAACCUAGAAUUCUUCUCCUUCAUAAGAUUUCUCCGUUACAUUCAUCAAAAAACCAGUAAAUAACAAGAACAUUUUGAGAGUUUAAAGUCGUCCCUUACUAGAAAAAAAUAGUGUAAAUAAAUGAAAGAGGAAGAGAUGCGAAAAGUGUAUACUAGGACCAGCCUUUUUAUACAAGCAAGCUCACUUUUCAGCUGUAGACUCAUAGAGUUGAAGGAAGCCACAUGAAUUUGGCCACUAGGGUUUUCUAACCUUUGGACCACAUAAAUGAGUAUCAUUAGUACAUCCACUGAACCCAAAAGUGUCCUCAAACUCUAGAGAGUAUCAUAUUCAUAUACUGUAGCUUUCCACUUAGUAAACAUUAUUAACAUAUCACCAACAAGGCAGCUCAAAGCACUGGUGGUUACUAGUACAAAAGCAAACCCAAGAUGAUGGAUAUACCGUACACGAACUGUCAUCAGAUAGUUUGCAGCUGCUAACCAAGAAAUAGUAAACAAAGGUGCUUUUAAAUAUGCAUCUACUGAUCCUAUGGAGUAAACGAGAGCAUAGCUCAAAACGCUACUUUUCUCUGUGAUCCUAUAAAGACAAGUCAUGAAACUUCCCAUCUCUGGCCUGAGACAUAACAGUAUAAAAUUAAGCUAAUAUGGAAACAUAUAUACAGCUGCAGAAAACAAUAUAUUCAUCAUAUCUUCUAUAUUAUUAAAAGAGAAGUACCCAUUUGAAAAUGUUCUUACUUCGUUAAUUAAACUCCUUUUUUUUUUGCUUGUCUUUUUUUAGUUGCAUUUAUUAAAUAUCAUAAAACGAAUAAAACUGUCUAAUUUAUUACUUGUCUUUUCAGUUACAUUAAUGAAAUAUGCUUAAAUGAAUUUAAACUUCAUAUUUUAUUGUUUGUCUUUUUCAGUUACCUUAAUGAAAUAUCCUUAAAUAAAUUUGGACAUAAAGUCAUUUAAUCAACCAAAAAAACUCAUGAGUUAUCCUUACGUGCAAUAAUUUUAAUAAUUGAGAUUUUUAAAAACGUGCAUCAUUAAAAUGUUACCUAAAACAUGCAGCACUAAUAUAUAAUAUGCAUCAAUAAAACUAGAAUUUGACUCACACAAUUGUACGGAUAUUAUUUUCAGUUGAUUAAAUUUAAAAAUAAUUAUUUAUUCAAAAAAUAUUUAAGAAUGACUAUGUUUUUAAAAAUUAUAUGGUAUUAUUUGCUCAUAACUCAUUUGUCAUUUGAUAAAUUGUUAGAAAAUGUUUUUUAGCAUAAUAUAACUCAGUUGUCAUUUGCUAAAUUUAUGGUUUUUAUUUAUAUUUUUUAUUAUUUAAUUAUAAUAUUUUCAUUUUACAUAUGAAAGAUAAAUAAAUUUUCUUUCAAACAAUAUUUUUGUAAAUGUAUUUUUAAAAAAAUAAUCAAUUAAAAUUGUUAUUAUCAUUGAAUAUCAUUAUUUUUGACAUAAUUUGAGUUUUCGUUUACAUCAAAACUUAUCAUAUUUUAGGAUAAUUUUAAUUUAAAAUGUAAUUUUCAUAUUUUUCAAACAAAUUCUAAAAAUAUUUUUUAAAUAUUUUGUUAUAAUUGUUAAAAAAAUAUUGAGUUGCAUUUCAAAUAAAAAGGUAAAGAUAUUAAAAAUAUUCUAAUUAAAAUAUAUAAAAUUUAAUAUAGUUUUAAGAAAAUGGUCAAAAUAAAAAAAAUUACACAUAAAAUAAUCAUGAUUUUUGUUAACUGGGCGGAUCAUUAUUUAUAUGAUAUCGCACACGAAAGAAAAAUUUUUGUUUUUAAAAUUAUCUAAUUAACUCUAUACUCAUUUUUUUAUAUUUUUUAUAUGAUAUCACACAUUCGUAAAAAAAUAGAUAGUUUAAGAUGCAAAAAAAAAUAUUUACUUAAUGAAUAUAAUAUGAACGAAUAUUACAAAUACAUCAUUUAAUAAAAUAAAUAAUUAAAAACUGAAAAUUCAUAUCCGCGCUGGCCCGCAGAUCAGGGUCUAGUAUAUAUUAAAACAGAAGUUAUGACAUUGAUUCAUGUAUGAUUUUUAAAAAAAUGGAUCUAUUCCUAAAUAGUUAUGUUGCAUUUAAUCUCUAAUCUUAUCAUUUAAAUUUUGGACCUACCAGAAAUUUUUAUUGGGCUAUCAAUAAUUGAAUUUAAACUAGAUUUAUAGAUAGUAUAAAUUAAAUAUAUAUAAUUUAAUAUUGUAAUAUUAUAUCUCCAUAUGUUAAAUAUUUAAAUAUUUGCCGAUGUUAGCUUUUAAAGUUAUAAAGAUUUUUUUUAAAAUAACAAAAAUCAUAUUAUCUAACAAUGAUUAAUUUUUACUACCUUAAACCAAUGAAAAAAAAAUUUAAACUAUAUAGUUUAUUUUAAAAAUUAAACAAAAACCAAAUGUUUAAUUUUUUAAAAACUUUCUAAAUUUGUGAAAUAUUACAAUAUCUUUGAAUAUGACAAUAAACCAAUAUUUUAAUAAUCUUUAUAUAUAUAGUUACGAUUUUAAUAAUGAAAUAAUAAUCCGAAAAUAUAUAUAUAGAAGAAAAUACAAAUACAUGUGAAAGUUUGAAACAAUCUAUUCAAUGAAGAAAAUAUACCGUAAACUUAUUAUGCUUUAAAAAUUGAUAGACACAUAUAUAUUAUAAUAUAUACCAAUUUAGAAUUGAAAACAAAAUAAUUAUAUAAAAUAAAUGAAAACAAAAAUCCGCGCGAGUCGAAAUCUAGUUGUCAAAUUGUUACGGAGACAUUUGACACACCCAUUAGUCAUUAUUUAUUACCAUGAAGGCCAUGAAGGUGAUUUAAGUUCAAAAUUUCUACAUUAAAUAUAAACAUGUGAUAUACUAACACUAACCUUGCUCCUUUGGACUCCUAAUUUCCCUACAACUUGUGGCCCAGGCAACAGUUGGUGAUGCCUAUGAGACAUGAAACCUUACUCGGAGAUAUACCUGGACAGUUAUCUAUGUUGCACCGGGACGGAUACGGGGACAGAUACGGGUACGGAAGCGGGGACGGGAAACGGAAAAACUAAAAAAUUAUGGCUACGGGUACAACAAAUAUAUAUAUGUUAAAAAUAUAUAUAUGCUAUCCAUAAUGGACAAAAUAAGAAAAGAUUACACCAAAAUCUUAACAUAAAAAAUAAUUCAAUAUAUUAUUUGAAAUAAUAAUUAUUAAAACAAUAAUUAAACCUUUUUUAUAAUCAAAAUUUGGUUUAUUUAAUAAAAGUUCAUAAACUUAGAAACAAGAUUGAAAGUUAAAAAUACAGUUAAAAUUUUACUUACUUUUAUUUUUUGGAAAAAGGUAAAUGAAUUAGCUUAAGAUACAAAUAAUAUUGAAGAAAAUUCAUUUCAAAUAUUCCAUAAAUGAACUACUACAUCCCCGAAGUGUCCCCGUGCUUUUUCUAUGGUGUUUCCGUCCCGGAAACGUUUCCGGUACGGGUACGGGUACGUGAACCAAACUGCCGUCCCGGUGCUUCAUAGACAGUUAUCACACGGUUCAAGAAGAAUAUUCAACUAUGUAAACUUUUCCUGGAGCCACAUAGAUAGAGUACCUACCUAGCUUUACUAUAAAUAAAUCCAAGUGAAAAUAGUAAAAGGUGACGAAUAUAGUAACACCACAUGGUGUUUUUAUCCUCUUGAGCAUCUCUCAGUGGCAAGUAGCUGAAAAUCUAUAAUAAGAAAUGUGUGAACAGUUCCCAAAUUAUAGCUCUUUGCCACGUGUAAGCAACUGAGGAUUCGGAUUCCCUCACAACAAGAUAAAGCUUUAUUAGCCCCUUCUCUCAGACGCAAUCUCACCCACCACCAAACUAACUACAUCAGUGAGCAAAAUAUGUUCAAACAAGAGAGUAACAACAUUUGUAAUAGAGAGAACAACAGAGGGGCACGAGCCUGUGACACAUGCGGGUCAACCAUCUGCACCGUGUACUGCCAUGCUGACUCUGCCUACUUAUGCAAUAGCUGCGAUGCUCAAGUCCACUCUGCCAAUCGCGUUGCUUCCCGCCAUAAACGUGUCCGGGUCUGCGAGUCAUGUGAGCGUGCCCCUGCUGCUUUUAUGUGUGAGGCAGAUGAUGUGUCUCUAUGCACAGCCUGUGAUUUAGAGGUUCACUCCGCAAACCCUCUUGCUAGACGCCAUCAGCGAGUUCCAGUUGUGCCGAUAAUUGGAAACUCUUGCAGCUCCUUGGCCACCGCUAACCACACAACAGUGACCGAGCCAGAGAAGAGAGUGGUGUUAGUUCAAGAGGAUGCCAAAGAGACGGCUUCAUGGUUGUUCCCUAAAAACAGUGACUAUCACAACAACAACAACAACCAGAACAAUGAGUUGUUGUUUAGUGAUGACUACCUAGACCUUGCUGAUUACAACUCCAGUAUGGACUACAAGUUCACCAGUCAAUACAAUCAACCUCGACAUAAACAAGACUGCAUCGUACCAGAGAAAAACUACAGUGGAGAUAGAGUUGUUCCGCUCCAACUUGAAGAAACAAGAGGAAACUUGCGGAACAAGCAACAGAAUAUCACAUAUGGCUCCUCAGGAAGCCAAUACAACAACAACGGUUCCAUUAACCAUAACGUAAGGCUUUUGAAUAUUUGCUUCUUUUUCAUCAUACACACAAAUCACAUAUUAGCUACCAAGAAUUAAUCUGUAAGUACCAGACGUUUAUAAUAAUUAAAAAAAAAUUUGCAUCUCUUUAGUCCUCUCUUACCAAGGGGAUUGAGAAUUGUCUUGGUUUUUUUCUGUAAUUAGGCAUACAAUCCAUCAAUGGAAACUGACUUUGUGCCGGAGCAGACAGCACCUGACACAACAGUUUCACAUCCAAAAACGCACAAAGGGAAGACAGCACAACUACCUGAACCUCUAAUUCAGAUUCUCAGUCCAAUGGACAGAGAAGCUAGAGUCCUGAGAUACAGAGAGAAGAAGAAGAGAAGAAAGUUUGAGAAGACAAUAAGGUAUGCUUCAAGGAAGGCAUAUGCAGAGAGAAGACCGAGGAUAAAUGGACGGUUUGCAAAGAUGAGUGAAACCGAAGUAGAGGACCAAGAGUACAACACAAUGCUAAUGUACUGCGACACAGGAUAUGGCAUUGUUCCUUCAUUCUAUGGCCAAAAAUAAAGAUUACUAGAUUGCUAAGCUGUAAAUAAAUGUCCAGUUUAAGAUUAUGUAAGGUUUGGUGCAAUUCCUGGUUUCAAGAAUGAUUACUUAUGCUGCUAUGUACAAGGGUGUGUAGUUUUGGUGCUAGCUAUUGCUAAUAGUAGUAUACUUGUUCCUUUGCAUUAGUUAAACACAAGCUGUCUACUCCACAAUUAGUUAAACACAAGUCCAUAAACCAACGUGAACAAUGCUGAUUGUGAAUGAUUUAAUGCCUAUGUGUAUGUAUGGGCCAUCCGCAUAAACAUUAGAGAUAAUAAAGAGCAAUAUAUGCUUGCUCACUUUACCAAUGUAUAUGCUGAUAAAAAGAAUGACAAGUGGACAACAAAAAGAUAAUAAAGAGAAGUGACAUUGUUACUAAAUGAUGCCCUUUUUGCCAUCUGGAAUAUGCCAUAGAGCUACGCGUCUACGGUUCAUUUACAAUUCCAUGAUUAAGCUGGUGAAGUCUUUCAUGUACCAAACAUUACGUACAAUCGAAAGAUUCGGCUCUACGCAUGCAUAUAUAUGUUUUCAGCCAAAGGUCUACUAAGCUACGCAUCACAUGAAUUGUUACUUGACAUAGUCAUAUUCCUAGCGUCUAGUUAUAGAACCAAUCAAUCACCAUAUUUGUUCUCUUCUUCGAGAACUUUAAGAAGAUAUAACAACCAAGUGAAAAAAAGUGCAUAAAGUGAAAGAAAAGCUUGCUGCACUUUGCACUUUUUUAAAAAUAUCUAAAGAUAUUUCAGAUCGUUUCUCACAGCCAGUGAGUCACAGCCAUGGAAAUUAAAAACCAGCUCCCAAACUUACAAUCACAAGCUUUUUACAUGGUCCCUUGACCCUCUUAGAUUCUCACUCUUUUUGCUAGAACAAGAAAAAAAAAUGCUAACAUAGAUAAUUGAUAGUGUACCUUUAUCAUAAUCUUAUCUUGAUUUCCUCCACAUAAUCCAGGGGAAAAUAACUUACGUGUACAUGUAAGAGGAGUUCCUCAGUAACUAUUCUGAGGAACAUAUAAGCCUAGAUCUCAGUUACCAUGGUAAACCUACUUUGUAUUGUAGCACUUGUAUCAGAAAAUCAGUAAAAUAGCAAAAAGAUUCCAACAAGAUGUCAAGAAAUACGAAAAAUACAUCCUAGUAUAUCAUCCAGCCUUUAUGGACAAGUAACAUAUCCCAAAGAUAAGUACCAGCAGUUUCAACUUUCAAGUAACUACUGGUUAGGAGACGAGUUACAGAAAAAAAUUCCAAUCUAAUAAGUUUAACAACUCAAGUACGCCUACUGUAAUUCUAUUUACAAUCGAGUUGUCCAUGGAAAGAUCAUCAACUUGGCAUAUUUGUUGUGAUGACUGAUAGGGUUGAGAAUUACCAGAAGCAUUAUUGUGACUUUGCGAGUGAGAGAAGCCUAACUUUAAUGGGCCUACUAAGCCAAUGUAUAUACGAAGCUCUUUAAAACCCAUUAAUAAAGCCGCAGAUCAUUUAAACAAUGCAUUGCCGGUGGGAGCACUCCUCGCCACCAGAGGAAUCCAUUCUGAGUUGACUUGCAAAAGGUGUGGAGAGCUGGAAACCAUCACCCAUCUCUUCUUUGAUUGCCCUUUUGCGGUAGAAGUCUGGGCCAAAGCCCCCCUCGUAACACCUGUUGACAGAGUGUCUGAAGCUGAAACGUUUAGAGAUUGGCUGUCAACAAAUGUUUCGAAAGGUUCCCUCCCUCCUGCAGGAGUAACGGCCUCCCUGCUCACGACAUGGCUCUUGUGGAAUCUCUGGAUUGCAAGAAAUAAAUUGAUCUUUGAAAACAAAUGUUUCCAAGUUGAAGAUGUUAUCUCCAAGGCGGUGACAGAUGCAAGGGAAUAGGAGGGGGCUAAUGCCAAGAAAAGUAAGAAGAAGGGCAGAAAGCGCCAUUAAGCAAACGUCUCCCCUCAGUCCCUUCUUGUUGGAUCGAUGGUGCUUGGCAGGAAACCUCAAAAGCAGGAGGAAUGGGCUGGAUCAUCAAGACUGCAGCAGGGGAAGUGCUCUGCAGGGGCUCCUCAAAUCGCUCACACGUGUGCUCUGCUUUGAUGGCGGAAGCGUUGGCUUUGCGUGAAGCUCUAAAGAAGGCGCAAGAGUUAAAUCUUCAAAGCCUCCAAGUGUUCUCGGACUCCCAGGUCCUUAUUUCGAUCCUUGAUGCAGGGGUGGAUUUGAAUGAGAUUGCAGGUGUCCUCCAGGAUGUCAAAAGCCUUGCCACUCUCUUCUGUCCGUUGUCGGUUGUUUUUAUUCCUCGUGUAGAAAACUCUCAGGCUGAUACUCUAGCUAAAUCAAGCCUUUCUAGAUUGUUAAAUGUUGUUUGAACUGGUUCGAUUUGAUUUAAUGCAAGUGGUUUGACAAAAAAAAAAAGCCGCGGAUCAUCAAGAAGUCCUAAAGUGGCAACAUCAAACAUGUUUUCAAACUUUGGUACAUUUUGAGAGUUGCUGGCUCCUGAUGGAUCAGACAGUUAUAUCUUUAAUUACUGGUUUCUUGUAGAGAGACCGGUUUGUCGAUUUUGUCGGUUUCCUCGAUCGAUGGUAGAUUGUUUUUUAUUUAUGUUUAAUAAGUCAGUGGUCACUAUUAGGCUAUCAUAGGUUUGGUGAAAAUUGAUAUUUUCGAGACGGAUCUUCAAAAAUUGAAUUCUUUUCGAGCCGGUAUUGUGGAUAAAAAAAUAACCAAGCAGUUUCAAGAGAUCGUGCCAUCUUUGAAGCCUCAUUCGCAGUGCCGUGCGAAGGGUUUUAGGGACCUAAGGCAAGUUUUAAAAAUAAACUUAUAUACAACUAUAAUGAAAAUAAAAAUAAACUUAUAUGCAAUCCAUGAGAAGCUGUCUACUAGAGAAAGGGUUAGAAGUUGGAACCAAAAUGCUGAUGUUUCUUGUGGGUUUUGUCAAGAACCUUUGGAGACAAGGAAGCAUUUGUUUUUUGAGUGUCCAUACUCUUUACAGAUUUGGGAAACGCUUGCAAGAGGUGUGAUGGGUGAUCUAUAUACGAUGGAAUGGGAGAACAUUCUCAAACUCACAUCACAAGCUUCAAGCUGGAGCAAGCUUGCUCUCUUUAUAACAAGACAUGUGUUUCAAUCAGCAGUCCACGCCAUAUGGAGAGAAAGAAACAGAAGAAGGCACGGAGAAGAUCCAGCACCAAGCAUGCUUCUAAUUAAAAGAAUUGACAAGGAGAUGAGGAAUAGAUUCACUAUAAUUAGGCAGAAAGGAGAUAUGGAGUAUGAAGGAGGAAUGGCCUUAUGGUUUAGUACAAGAUAGAGUUUUUGGAGUUUUCAUAUUAUUAUAAAAUUGUAGUAGUUAAAGUUUGGAGAAGAUAGAAGAAACUCUAAAAUAGGUAACACAUGAUGUAACAAAGUAUUUUUCUUUUGAAUUCAAUUUAACAUUCAAUUAAAAAAAAAACUAUAAUGAAAAUAAUUUUUUUUAUACGAUAUAUCACAUUCGCCAAAAACACAAAUUUAACACUUACAAGAAUAAGUUUAUUAUAUAAAUAUGCUAUAUUAUGUCAUAUAAGAAAAAAAUACAUGGAUUAAGAAAGUGAGUUAAUCGAUUCUUGUGGAAAUUGUUUUUUAGAAAAUAAGUUCAACAACUAGAUUAGAAAUUAUUUUAAAUUUUGGGACCCUAAAAAAAGUAAUAUUAUUUGGGAGCCUAAAGCAAAUGUCUUUUUCAAUACACUUUAGGAACCCCUGCUCAUUCGUUCAUGCUCGAGAUGUUAUCUUGUACCUGGCGCAUUACACUCACUUGCAAAAUAGAGUGGAAGCAAUAAGGUACUACUCAUUCAGAUCCAAUAUUGGUUGUUGGAAUAUACAUUGCUGAGGAAAAUCAAGUGGACAUGAGAAUCGCAACUACUGUUACCAGAGAACACAAACCACAGUCAUACGUAACCGGUUAUAGCCACCCCUGUCUGUAACAACUACUCACUGAAGAUGUUUUUCAGUAAUGUUUUAAUGGCUCGAGAACUCGUGAAAUUUAGUUUAUUGAUUAGUAUUAUCUCAAUCUUUGGCGAAUUAUAUCUAUAUGCUCUUUUGAGCUUAUUAUGUCAUUUAUUGGUAAUUUUAUUUUGGUUUAUUUCUGUUUUUAUAAAAAAAAAAGUUGUAUGAAUUUUGCUUUUUUAUGGCUUCAUACUAAAAAUGUUAAAAAUAUACUUUGGUACGUAGUUAAACCGUAGAAAAAUAGUGUUGGAAACGGUGCUAGACCUAAGUCUGGCCCAGAGAAAAGAUACAUAAAAAUCCGCUUUUGCUUACGGCUCAAAAGAUAUAUAUGGGCCGUAAUUUGACGGAUACCAAACAAAGAAAACAGAUAUCGACUAGAGGCAGAAUUUAAAAAGUUGGAUCAUAAUAAACAACUCAUGAUGGCUGAUGAGUUCCAUCUGUAAUAGAAGAGAAGUCAUGAUCCAAGGAAGCAGAAGAGUAUCUGCCAUUGAUGCUUCUGCUUCCUCCUGCUCCUAUAACCUUCUUCAUGGAUGUGAUAACUUGAUGAAGCGCCAAGUUUUUCUCUUUAAGACUCGAGUUCUCUUGAAGAACAAGAUCAUUGCUAUUCGAGGCUUGGUUAAGCUUUUCUAAAAGCUGCUGGUUCUCGCUUCUAAGCCAAGCAACCUGCGAGAGAAGCUCAUCUAAGUGUCUUUGCUUUCUCAUUCUUGACCUUCUUGCUGAUUCUCUGUUAGAUACCAUACGUCUUUGCUUUCUCUCGUUGAUGACGAAUAUAUCUUCAGUUGCUUCAUCUGACGUGGUAGAGUUGUUGCUUGCAGGAGAUUGUAGAUUAAGUUCUUGAAAUUGAGGGUAUGGGAAAAUAUUGAGAUUGUUGUUGGAAGGGUUUAAGUUGUUGUAGUAAUGGUUUAAGUGGAAGUAGUCUUGCUGUUGCAUGUUGUUAAGACUUGAGCUAUCAUAAUUUGGCUGCAUGGUCAAUUUCUCUCUCUAGAGCUCAAAGAGGGUGAGAUAAUGGUGGAGGUUGGAUGACAAGGGGGUGUUUAUACAGCUGAGAAAGCCAUAAAAGUGGACCAAACUUUUUUGCAAAUUGGUGGCUUUAUAUAUGUCUUCUAUAUGACCCAUUGGCAUGUUUUUGUUUUCCUUAAAAUUAUUGAGAAGCUAGUUAGUUAUCUUUCAAAAGAAAAUAUAAUAGGUCGCCAUAUAAAUCUACAAAUACUUUUUUAUUUUUUGAUUGUUUAAAAUGACUAAUUUGGUUGUCCCUUUGGGAUAUUGUAUCGGUUGAUGGCUCGAUGGAUGAGACUGAUACUAGAGAAAGUAUUCCUUAUACUGAUACAAACAUAACCAUUACACGCAUGCAUUCAGGGUGUCAUAAUUUAUCAACACACAUAAGCAUAACUUUGGAUGUGUUUAUGAUACAAGGAUGUGGAUGUGGUACAUCGAUCAUGCUAGGAUUAGUUAUUUAGUUUAACAACCAAAUGGCAAGUUGUUUCCGGUGCAUGUAAGUAUAUGAGAGAGUACCAUGGCCAUCUAGUGGAUCAUGAUUUUCAUCCAUGAUUGACAUUUGAAGACUGGGGUAUAAUAUGUAUAUUGUGGAUAAAUCAAGUUCUGGAUCAGUGUUAUGUGCUUACAUCAGAGAGAGAAAAUGUAGUUUCUAGUUGUGGGGUUUCAAAAUUAUUUAAGUUUAGAAUCAGUUAAUGCUUUUGUUAGCCAACAUAUAAAGUAGUGAUGAUAAGUCAAUUUAUAAAGCUUAUAAUAUUUAUUUGGUUCUAAUAUCUUCAUAACUCACCAAUUGCUCUUCUAUUUCUAUAGAAAAAUAAGAAGAUAAUCUCUUGGACCUUUGAGAUUUGCUUCUCUUCUCUGAUUAACAUCAUUAUAACAUCAUUAUUAUGGUUUAUGCGUAGACUUUUUGAGGUCCUAGAUAAAAUAUAAAAAACUUGGGGUGUUUUCUAUUAUAAAUAUCACACAGAAAGUAAAAUCUAAAUUAUCAAAUUAAAGACUGGAAGUGGAUAGUUUAACCUUCUUUUGGAAAUAUAAUAAUUAUUUAAUUAGAAUAUUACCACCAAAUUAUUUUAAAAAAUCCCUCUUUUUAUCCAUGUAUAUAUUUAUGUUCUAAACUGUCGUUUGGGCUCUAGACACAACCAUGCCAUACUCAAACACAACCAUGCCACACUGAAAUUCCAACCAUACAAUUACACUAGACAUGUAAAUCCCACAUAUACUAAUUAAUAACCCCUUUAUUGCGCAUUACCAAAUCAUUUCAAAUCUUCUAGAGUGUCUUUUUCGAUGAUUCCGAACAAAAACAUACAUUAUAAUCUCUGAGACUAGCUAGUAGUAUUGACCAAGUAUUCUUGACAUCUAAAACAUUCACAGUGAUUGAACCUGAAUGAGUCGUAAUCGAACACUGAUCUUUUAGUUCACAUAAUGAAUCAUUGGUCCACCAUAUACAAUUGAAUUUUCUUUUCAAAUGUUACGUACUUAAAUCAAGUUACUUAGAGAACAUCGUGUUGAUACAAGAAAUCUAACUCUUAUAUUAUUAUAUAUAGAUUCCCAAAGACCUUUAUUAACAAAAACAAAACCACACAAAAACGAUCCUUAUAGUUGCACUAGGAAAGCAAGAUGUGUUAGGCAGGGUUGGCUUGUCGUUUUAUAAAGGCUAGGGCAAAGGCUAUAUAACCUAAUAUAUUUAGGAGCUGAUGACUCAACAACCACUCAAAACCACACACUUGCAAAAUAAUUACAAUUUAAGAGCAAUAUUUUUUGCUUAAUUUAACGAACUAAGUUAAGUUAAUUAGAUAUAUGUUAAUGUUAUCCCUUCGCUGGUUAAAAAAAUAUGAAGAUCGACUAAUGCCGAACGCAUAUUGGAUCGUUUGGUUGUAGAACUAUUUGACUUUGUAUCAUGUAACGUCAUCAAAAUUCAGGAUAUCGUUUGGUUUUGUCCUAUAGUUUCCUGACUUAGGCUCGUUGACAAUAUACGCAAUACAUAAGCUUCAGGUAAACUUUUUAGAUAGUCGGAUAAUUGAUCAAACGUUUCUCUAAAUAUCAAAUAACUUAGGCAUGCAUGGGUUUAUUAUAGUCCAUUUGUAAAACGACAGUGUUAACAAAAAUAUUUGCAAAUUGAUAUUGGACGUCUUUAGACUUUUUGGGUGUUGACAGAAAGUUACAUGAUUGGAGUAAUAAGGCUUUUUCGUUAAAGUUGUUUUUCUCAGAAGUUGAUUUCAGGUUUUACUGUUUUAGUGAGGACAUACAUUGCUACUUGAGGAAACCACAUUUUCGAGAGAGACCCCCUAGUUUCUACUGAACUAGUUCUUGGAUUUUAGAUCAAAUAUACAUUUGAGAAUAACAAGCUCUGAUGUUAUAGAUUUUCAUCUUAAACCGACUGAUAAUAUUGAAUGAAAAAGUUUAUAACCAUUAGUACUCCUUUUUAAUGUGUAAUUCACAUCACCUUAAACUUUGUUGACUGACUUAAACCCUCAAGUUGCAUAAUUUGAGUGUGUACUGUGUUGGUCAAACGAAAGGCAAAUACACACCAUCAAGUCAUAUCAUUCAGACAAAGUCUAUUUCUUCUUUAUUUCUGUCUCAUGUCCUUUUGCUCGGUUUGUUCUUCUUCCACAGCCUCAAGUUUUUUUUUCUGUUAUUUCUUUUCUUUUUACCUUCCUUUCUAAUUUGCUUUUUUUCUUCUUAGUGUUUACUUUAUCUAAUAUUAUUUUGAUAUUUGUUUUUAUUGGAUCAUGAACUAUAUAUAAAGUAUUUUUAAUGUUUCAUUGUUUUGGUCCCAUCAGUAACACUACCACCGAUACUGGCCUACCUUAUUUUCAAUUCUUUAAAAAGAAAUCUCUUAGAUCUUCCAUCUUAUAAAUAAAAAUGCAAACUGAAACCUAAUGUAAUUAGUAAUUAAAAUGAUAAUUGUGGUACCUAUAUAUCCUCUUCUAGCCAAACUAUCUACAUUUGUUCCAACAAAACAAGAAGAAUCUAAAAAAUUUGAAUUUUUACUCGUUUUCUUGCCAUAUGAGAAUUUGAAUUUCCAAUGAUUUUCUUCUUUUAGAAAUUACCGGUAUAUUAUUUUAUUAUUUUAUCGAUACACUAUUUUUAAUGAAAAAUGAGUGAUGUCACGAGGGUCCAACUGAUUGGUGGAUUAAGGAUAAGCCAAUCACCAAAGGCAAAAUUUAUUAUAUCAUCACACCUUUUACGAUAAUUUUUACAACUCCAUUUCUCUUAUUUUUGUGAGAACUUUAUAAUUAUAGACCCAAUUUAUAGUUUUGUAUUUUCUUCGUUCGUGCCCUCAAAUUCGCCAAAUUGAGAUAACACACAAACGUAUGUUAAUAAAUAGAAAUGCCUAACUUGUUAUAAAGCUGUGCGUUCAUUUGCGUAUAAGUGAGCUCCUGUUUAUAAAACUACUAUCUUAACAACAGAACUAAAAAUUAUAAAACUACUAUCUUAACAACAGAACUAAAAAAAAACAGAACUACACAAAAUCGUUUUAAAAAAAAAGAGAAAUACACAAAAUCAAAACAAAAUUCUUACCUUUUAGUUAAUAAUUUAUACUAUUAAUCACGGAUACGUAAUCCAUUUUCCUUCUAGUUGAAUAGUAAUAGAAUGAUACGAAUAAAGGCCAAAAUCAUGAGUGAGGUUCUUCUAAUUAAAUUUUAUUAAGGUCUUGCUCCACUAUCACUGCCAAUUUAGAUCAUUAUCGUCAGUCGUAAUCAUGGGAAUUAUGUUUUUUAUUAAUAUACCAUGUCUAGCAAAAGGUUUAUAAUUCUCAUAAGACCUACUUGUCAUUGCCUAAUUAUUUCCCUGGUUUAUUUUAGGUUUAAAUUUUUUUUCCAUUUUUAAAAUUAGUUUUAUGCUUGGUAUCCAAGUAUGAUCAAGUGCAUGCAUACAUGAUACAUGCAGCUCACAUGCCCAUAAUACAUGCAUGCACAAUGCAUUUGUCUCUAUAGAUAUUGGUUAAUAAUUUGUACUUGAUGUUACAUUGCGGUACUAAUCAGUCUGGAUUUGAUUCAAAGUUGUGUUUAAAAUACAAGUCCACCAUUUAGUUUUAAAUAUUAAAAUAUAUAUUGCCUGAUAUUAAUUACUCUGAAUUUGAACAUUGGUCUGCAAAUGGUUCAUGUCCCUCAAGGAGAAGAGGAAGAAAAUCCAAAGAGACAAGAAGACAAAGUGGGAGAACUUCGAAAACUUGAGCUCAAAUUUCAAUCCCAAAAUGAUUGAGGUAAUAGUUAUCAAAUGAAACAUUUUCAAUGGUGUAAUUAAUAUUUCCGAUGUGAUGUCAUUCACCCACCCCAACUACAAAUUCGUUUUAUAUUCAUGGUUUUUUCUUGCAACUGUUUCUAUGCACUUCUUCAAUCAUUUUAAUCGAAAACAGAUCGACACAAAUAAAGUUUAAAAUCACCUGUAAAUCAACUACUAAAAUAACAAGUCUCUUAAAGAUACACUUUCAAGAUACACUUUCUUUGCGUAUUCAAUAUAUAAGUGAGUGUUUUCUAAUAAAAUAUUUAUUUCGUUUCAUUUUAAUUGUAGUUUUAAAUUUUUACACACAAAAUAAAAAAUAUUUAAUUUUGUAUAUUUUUUAAAUUAAAAACAUUACUACCCAUACAUCUAAUCAUAUUUCAACCAACAGAAUAAUAAACUAAAGAAUAUUGUUAAUAAAUUUUGUAUAAAAUUCUAAAACGAUAUUUAUUUUGUAACGAAAAUUUAACGAUAAUUAAACUGACACAAAACUGCUUAUGAUUAAUACAUAAAAUGAACAUGCUUCUAAGAAGAAAAUUGAAUAGUUUGCUGUGGUUGUUUUCACAUCGGACUCUGGUAACUCAAACUUCGAGAUGUCAUUAUGUCUAGUUCAGGUGCUGGUAUAUAUAUAUAUAUAUAUAUAUAUAAAUUCUUCUCGUUUUGUUUUACUUAGUUUUCAUUUUGAGCAAUACAUUUCAUAUUUAAGUAUAGAGGAGCUUAUAAUAUUUUUUAAAAAAAUUGUAUAAAAUUUAUACGUGGAUUAUGUUACAUGGAAUGAGAAAAGGCCAUAAUUGUUGAAUGUGAAGAUAGCAAAUAAUGUUGAGCCAAUUGGGUAUCCAAGAGCCAGAAAGAAGAUUGUCCAUGAUAAAAUAAUUGAAAAAACCGACACUCGAUGUUUUGAAGUUUGGCUCUUUAGAUAUGUAGAGUCACUCACUACACAGAAAGGAGCCGGCCACUCCCAUGUGAAAAUGACUAAUUAACUUUUCUUUAUUUUUACAAUCUUAUUCCUAAUGGGAUUCGGUUCAUUUACUAUAUAUUGAAGUAGUUAACUUAACUGAAUGUUCCCAAAAGAAAAAAAUAGCUAACUGAAAGAAACAUGGAAAUAUUGAAUAGACAACUAAAAGUUUAGAAAAUAGCUAGCAAAAUAACAUCCAAAAUAUCCAAAAAUAUGAAGAACUAUCAAAACUUAUUUGAAAUAUCCGAGCAUAAAUAUUUAAUCUUUAUUGUGUGACAUGAAACAUGCGGAUCAUCGUUAUAAGUUUUGAUUAUUGGAAGUUUAGUGUGAUUUUUAGAUGUCAGUUUCAAAUGCAUGCAUUGCUCGCACUCGAAUUUAACCGCGGUUAGAGCCGUCAAAUUUUCAAAACUGACAAAAAAAAAAAACUUGUGCAAUAUAAAGAUAACAUGAUUGAUAUUCAACGUAGAUUUCGUAGCUACUAUACCAAUGAAUCAAUCCAGAUGACGGCCUAUAAAAUUCAGGGAUUUAAUAGUGGGCUCCAAGCCCGCAUGUUGAAUUAGAUACAGUCCAUGUAAGACUAUAUUAAACCGACAUAAUCAAUUAAUCAUCAUAAGCUGGUCACAGAGUCACAUGACUCGUCCGUAUUGGACCAGACCUCUGGGAUUACCGCAAGUCGCAACAUCUCUAACAAAACCAAACCACCUCUGACGUGCCGACCUGUAUUUCGCAUCGUCUAAAAGCAAAGAUAAACACAGAUGGUAAAAGUAAAACACGUGAAUAUUCUUCAUUUUCUACACAUAUUUUUACAAUAGAAUCUUCGAUUGGAACAGGUAUAAAUUAAUCUUGAUUGAUCCCAAUAUAUAAAAGAGAUCUAUAUAUAUAAAAAUAUGUUCGCCUCACUCCUGCUUUGCCACGUCAUAAAGUCGGUUUCUGACAAGCCGACUCGUGUCCGGUUUGGGAUGAUACUCACCGUUUCACUCAAUCGCAAUUAUUAAUGGGCUUUUCUCUUUUUGUUAAUAAAUAUUUUAGAUCGGUGUUUUGAGCUUAACAUAAUUGGGAUUCUGGGCUGUAAAGUAACACAUGAGGGGGUCCCACAUGAGACGGCUUCUUCUCCAAAAAUAAUGUCGACGAACGAAAGACAGAUCUGCUGCGUUUUAACAACUCCGGUUCAAACCUACGGCCAAUGAAGAUUUGCUGCACCGGCCACGCUGAAUUCCGAUCAAGGUCAGUUGGAAAGCGUCGUAUUUGGCUGUUCGAUUCCACUUCUUCUACCCUUGAUUGAAUUUUGGAACCGUUACAGAAGUCGGUUGGAUUCAUGCAUCCUCAUUGACUAUCACAUUAAAUCAUUCAAUGAACCCCCUCAUUAAAACAUUUUAACUCAAAUAUAACUAAUCUUAACAUAAAUAAUCCUUCGACAUCCUAAAAUUCUCAAAACCCAUAAACAUUAUUAUAUACUUCUCUUAACAAAAUGUUACAAAACAUACAUACAAAGGGAAUAUACAAUUACAUCACAAAAAAAAACAUGAAUUACUUUAGGAAUGACUUCAAGUUUUGAGUCAUAUUCGCAAAAAAAACUCUUAAAUAAGUUAGUUUAAUUAAGAAUAUUAUAAAACAAAACAUUUGAAUUAAAAUAAAUAUUAAAAAUAUAAUGUUAUUUAUCAGAGAAUAGUGAAAUGUACUAUCAUUAUAAUUCAAAACAAAAAAAAUAAUUAUAAUGAUCUCAUAAGUCUUUCAUUAUUUUUUCGUGUAUAAUAUUUUUUAAUCUAUCAUAAUUUUAAAUUACUUCAUAAAUUAUUAUAAAAUCACUUUUAUUAUAACUUCCCGCCCGUAGGGCGGACCGGUCCUAGUUCCAAUAAAUAAAAAGGACUGAGAGAGUGUUUUCAGCCUAUCCACUUCAGACUAAAAAAUCAACCAAUCACGAAGCUUUAUAGUUCCACGUCACAUCUAUAUUUUGUCGACAAAGAAUAUAACCGGGCCAGUAAAUUUGGGCUGAACAAAAUUGAAAGUAGCCUUCUAUGGAAUAGCCCAUCUCUUUUUCUAAGCAGAAUGUUCGUACCGCUCUUGCUCUUGCUCUUGCUCCUAUCUUCAUUAGAAUAUCUUUCCACCUCCCUUUGUUUCUCCUCUUAUAUAAACCCCUUGAUGAUAAAACAGGUCCGUUAACUAUUGUUAUCCGAGCCGAGUUAUCUAAAAUACGAACCCUCGACUCGAGAUUCAUUACACCACGACGAUUUGUUGUUCUCUACCUCUGAAAGUCAGGUAUUAUUUUAUUAUUUAUACUUUAGCACUCAAUCUCUUUGUUUCCGAAUUACCAUGGAAUUGUACGCCUGAUUAGAUUUAUCCAAUUGUACAAUUUUUCGUUUCAUUGAAUCAGAGUCGAGAAAGUUAUAAAGUAAGAUGAGCAAGAAAUAAAAGAGUAAAAAAAAAGAAAGAUUGUGGAUGCGCAGUUGUAUGAGAAUAAUUUCAGUAGAGGAGGAAACUAUAUGGAGAGGAGCAAGCAAGAAGCUUCACCCGAGAAAGUAAAUUCAUCUUACUGUCAGCAGAAAGAAUAAGUCUGAUAAGAAGAAAGAAGGUGAUGAUGAUGAGAUCAACAGCAGAUUGAGUUUGGGAACACUUUCCUUCCAGCCUAACUUCCUGUUUCCGGUUUAGGUAAUGUUAAUCUUUGCUCGAUUUGAUUUAAUAUGUAUGUGGUGAUGUCCUAUUUUGUUGCAUAUGGCUGACAUCAUCUGAUUGCUUUCAUCUUCUCCUCUUGAAGAAUAGCAUUUUUUUUUGUCAGAUUGAUUGAGCUUAGAAUCAUUAUUUUGUUUCCUCAUGUAUUCGUAUAAUGAUUUGUAUUCUCUAUUUUCGUUACAUGUAAUAUUAAAUUUCAAUUUUUCAGGCAUAAAGUUAAAUGUAAUAGUUAACAUUGGUGAUUCUUUCUGAAUCUCCAAAAAAUUCAUAAUUUUCUCAGCAGAUUCUUGAAAAUGAUCCCUAAUAAGUCUCAGAUCUGCGAUGGCUACUUCAUAAAAUCAAUUGAAGGAGACAUGCUGGAUUAUCUUUAAACAAUAAAGCAUCUUUUGCUUUCCAUUUUUCAUAUUUUUGUAUUUAGCCAAUAUCAUACGUCUCACUUAUUUCAGGUACGUUCACCUAGAACCUGAGAUUUACCUGGAUCCAAAGAAAUAUGAGCCUUCAAGAUGGGAGGUAUGUAGAUAUACCAGAUUUGUGGUGCAUUCAACAAUUAAACUCUCUUUGUAAUUUGUAGUUGUUGUUGCAAAAGAGUAGCUAAACACGGUCAAGUUCAUUCUACAAGGAUACAUGCCAAAACCAGGUACAUUCCUUCCUUUUCAUUUAUGAAGCGAUCUUUGUGCCGGGAACGAUCUUGCGAAGCUCGAGAUUUCCAUUUUUCUUCAUCUUUGACCACUGAAGAUGGGGUUAGCUACUGUCGCUUUGAAGCUGUGGGUUAUGACUUCAACACUAUCCAGCUGAAUCAGCUGGUGAGAAGGCUUCUGUCUUGCUUUGAUCCCAACAAAUUCUCUGUAGAGUGUCGCUGUGAGCGCGUACAAGCCGGAAAUUAGUGUAUACUUGGAAGAUUAUGGGUUUAGAGAGAGGACAUUUGAGUCUCUAGGAGAAGAGGGUAGACCAGUGAUGUAUCAUACGUUUGAGAAGCUUGGCAAGUAGUGUGCGUCGCCUAGAUCCACCUUGAAGUAGGACUGGAGCAGGCUGAGCAGCAAUAACAAAGGGACACGAGGGAAUCUAGCAGAAUUUUAUCUAAACUAUUUUCGAUCUUUUUGUUUUUGCAUUUUUUAAAGUAGUGAAUAAUGAUUUCUGAAAUUAAGGUAUUCCGUUCACAAGCAUGUGUGUUGUACAAUUUCGCUUUAAUACAGUAUAUGGAAUACUAUUAUGAUUUACAGCUUUUUACAUUACUUAUUUGUGUCUUUCUUUUGGUUGUCGAGGAUUGAAUGAAAAAAAAAAGACAAAAUACUUUGAUCAUACUGCAGCGAUAUUAAUCUUGAAGUUUAGAAUCUGCACGUAUCAUACAAACUUGAGUUCCUUAUUAAGACAUGUUCUUCUUGCUGGUUGUCAUCAUCUUCAAAGUCAUUAGCUUCUUAUCAUUUGUGCAAACUGGAUUACCUCAACUCAUAUCUAACUAAAUAAAAUUUUAAACUGUAUAGUGUACUUAGGAUAUAGAAAUUUGAAUAUUAAUCAUAUUGAUCAAUAAUAUUACUUAUAAAAUAUAGAAGAAAUAUACAUGUUUAACCAUCAGCAAGUAUGCAUUCUUCUAUUAAUAAAUUCAGAAAUAAUUGUUUAUGGACUUGGUUGUUAUGUUUGGCUUAACAACAAUGUGAACUUAGGAUUACUAACCAAAAAAUUAAAAUAGAAGCGUUGAUUUUUUUUUUGUCGGCAAAUAGAAGCGUUGAUUAGUUUUACACUACAAGAAAACAUCACCUUAACGAGGGCGGUUUUCCUCGUUAUUUCGUCGUAAAAGAGGCUUUACGACGAAAUAGCGAGGAAGCGUGUUUGCUCGUUACUCGUCCGUCGUAACACAUAUUUCCUCGCUAAUUCGUCGUAACUUAGCGAGGAAUAUAUUUCGUCGUAAAGACGAAGUAGGGCGAUUCGUCGUAAAGACCACGUCAAUAUUCCACGCAAAGACGUCGCUACAAUUCCUCGUAAAUACCUCGAAAUGAGUUUCUCGUAACCUACACGUAAAUACCUUGAAAGAGUUUCCUCGCAAAAUACACGUAACAACCACGAAACGAUUUCCUCGUAAAAUACUCGUAAACUUUUCCUCGUUAUUUCCUCGCAAAUGUUUCCUCGUAAAAUAGUCGUUAAUUGUUUCUCGUCAUUUCCUCGUAAGGUUUCCACGUAAAGAGGUCGUACAUUAGCUACGAAUUUACUUAGUUUUUAUUAUUUUUACCGAAUUUAAAAAUAUAAUUAAAAAAUAAUUAAAAUUAUUUAAUUUAAUAAUAAAUUAAAAAUUAAAAUAAAAAUAAAUCAAAAUGAAAAUAUUUUAUAUAUAAAUAAGUUUUGAAUUUAUAUAAUACAACAACCAAAAAAAAAACUAAGGGUCGUUCAUCGCCCAGUAGAAUUCAUCACUCCUCCUCGUAACAUCCGCCUCGUUAUGUACGUCGGAUGACUCGCCUUGAAUGGGAUGUUGUUGUCGCAUGUUCCUCAACGUGGACUCCCAUUCCGGAUUUGUGGCCGCAAUAACGUCCAAGAAACCCUCAACUCCACCCAUACGAGAUUUUGUCGCGGUCAACUCGUUACGCAGCUGAGCGGACUCUCUACGCAGCUCAGUGACUUCAUCAUCCCGUCGCUGACCAUAAGACGAUGUCGCUCUCAGAACAUCGUUGACGGAACCAAUACCCAACGUCCGUCCCUUUUUUUUAGGGACAACCUUAAAAACAAAAAAUAAAUAUUGUAAGUAAAAAUUUAAAGUUAAAUUAAAUGAAUAAUAAAAAAUUAAUUUUUUUGAAAAUUUACCUCCUCGUAAAUCUUAUCCACGUCAAGUGUGGAUAAGGUGACGGGUAAUCCGUCGGUAGACUGCUGGGUCAGCUGAGUCUGGCGGUCUUCAACCCGAGCAACUACGUCGUUGUAGAUUUGCUCAGACUUGUCAUCUACAAAUACGCUCGCCUUGUUCUUGUGGGUCCUCUCGUAAAGUUCCAUAAGAGAAGGGAGAUGUCCCGUCUCUUUGGCCUAAAAAACAGUUAAGAAAGUUAGAAUAAAUUAAUAUAUAUAUUAAAAAAAUUAUUUAAUAAAAUAUUUAAUUUCCAUUUCCAAACGGACACCGGCGUGGGGUUUUUGGCCCGUAGUGUGAAGCAUCGGUCCGUUCCCGUGCUCAUCGACCGUGUUACGGGAGUUAGAGCAAGCUUGGGCGAUUCUAAUGGAAUCAGGAAGGCGCCAAUAACGGAUGAAGCCAUCUCACACAUCCGUGGUGAGCUCAGCGGGUUUGCCACGCUCAUACCCCUUCACGAUCCAGUCACCCUUCCAGUUGGAGACCGUGUCCAACAAGCGAACUUUCGCCUUCGCGUUAAACUUCUUCCUCACCCUCUCAGUGAUCCCCAAGGCCCAAGUAUAUUUUUGUUGUUGGAAAAAUAAAUUAACAAUUAGUUUUUUAGAAAGUAUAUAUAUAAAUCAUGAAAAAAUUAAAGUAUAUAUAAUUAAUUAAUAGAAACUUACAGCGUAAAUUUUGAACCACGUCUUUCUGACGUAGUGAGGCGUCUUACUCCAGUUUGGAUGUGGCAUGGAGAAGUAACCCUUGAUCGUGUCGGUUACGUCCGAUGCAAGACAUCCGUCAACCCCCCCACCUGGAAAAUACAAAUUUAAAAUAUAAAUUAUUUUUUAAUGUUAUAAAAGAAAUUUAAACGAAUUAAAAAAAAAUUAAUGCAACAUACCACAAAGUUCCGUCCGGUCGGUCUGGGUCGAUGACUGGUAAACCUUCUCUGCCUGGCAGACUGAUAAUGUCCUCUACAGUGUACUGCGAGUAAAGAGCACUCGGAGGCACCAUCAAAUCAGGAUGAAUAUCGGCGGCCAUCGGAGGUGCCAUCGGAGGAGGCACAGGAGGAGGCAUCGGAGGAGGCACAUGAGGAGCCAAUGGUGCAGUAGAAGAAGUAGACCCAGAGACUCUCUGAGUGUACUGAGUCUCGGGGACAGUCUCCUGGCCCGAAGAACUGGGAGCGGAAGAAGAGGCCGGGUCUAAACGACUACCCGGCUCACCGAAGAUCUCUCUGUAAUGGGCAGUAAGUCUUCCUUUUCGAACCUGGAAAAAAAUGAAAUUUUUAAAAUUAACAUCAACAAUAUAUUUCCCAACAUUAUCCACAUAAUCAACACUAAACAACAUAAAAUCCGCAAACCUAUCUAAAUUCCCUAUACUAACCACCUAAUCUAUCAUAAACUAACCAAAUUAGAGAGGAAUCAGAGAGGCUAACCAUUGCUACGAAAUGGAGAGGAAGUAGAGAGGAAAGAAAGAGUGAGCGCUCGGGUGUAUAUAUAAGAAUACAUAUCGUCGCAAAUUCCUCGUAAGUUUACGACGAAAUAGCGAGCAGUUACAAAGGCCCGUCUUUUUUUUUACGAGGAAAUUGCGAGGAAUCACAAAGGCCCGUGUUUUUUUAUACGAGGUAUUAACGACGAUUUACCUUACGAGGAAUUAACGAGGCUUGCUUUCCUAUAAAUAUACCCACAACUCUCACUCUCAAACCACACACAAACUCCCAAAUCACACCUUAUCUCAAAUCACAAUCCUCAAAAAAAUCCUAUUCAAAUUAUAAAUAUUUGAAAAAAAUAGGAAAAGGAGAAGAUAUUAGAAUUCAUGUGGGCGAGACUUACGUAUUAUAAUUGCUGGAAGUCUUGCCACAUGUUAAUCUGCUAUUUCUCUCCUUUUCCUUUUUUUUUCAAGUUUGUACACUACGAGAUAUUUACGACGAUUUGUACUUACGUGGAAUUAACGGGUUUAUGUAUAAAUCCGUUUACGUGGUCUUUACGACGAUUUCUGCUUACGUGGAAUUAACGAGUGUUUUGUUUAAAUCAUUUUAUGUGGUAGUUACGACGAUUUCAUCCUACGAGGACUUUACGACGAUUUGUGCUUACGUGGAAUUAACGAGUGUUAUGUUUAAAUCCCUAGAAUCCGAAACCCGAAACCCGAAACCCGAAACCCAAACCCGAAACCCGAAACCCCAUACCCGAAACCCCAAACCCCAACCCCCAAACCCGAAACCCGAAACCCAAACCCCCAUCUUUAAUUUUCUACUUCAUAUAUUCCAAACCCCAUAUUUAAUUUUAAGUUUCGUCGUUAUUUUUAACGAGUGUUAUGGUUAAAUCCCUAGAACCCGAAACCCGAAACCCGAAACCCGAAUCCCGAAACCCGAAACCCGAAAUCCAAAACCCGAAACCCCAAACCCCGAACACCUAAACCCGAAACCCCAAACCCGAAACCAAAAACCCGAAACCCGAAACCCGAAAUCCAAAACCCGGAACCCCAAAACCCGAAACCCCAAACCCCAAACCCAAAACCCGAAACCCCAAACCCCAACCCGAAACCCGAAACCCGAAAUCCAAAACCCGAAACCCCAAACCCCGAACACCUAAACCCGAAACCCCAAACCCGAAACCAAAAACCCGAAACCCGAAACCCGAAAUCCAAAACCCGGAACCCCAAAACCCGAAACCCCAAACCCCAAACCCAAAACCCGAAACCCCAAACCCCAAACCCCAAACCCCAUAUUCCUUAUUUUCUACUUCAUAUAUUCCAAACCCCAUAUUUAUUUUUAGGUUUCGUCGUUAUUUCCUCGUUGUAUUACGUUAUAUUUACGACGAUUUCAUCCUACGUGGUUUUUACGACGAAUUCAUCCUACGUGGUAUUUACGACGAUUUAGUCCUACGUGGAAUUAACGAGUCCUUCGUCGUUAUUUACUCAUUGGAAUACGAGGACUUUACGACGAUUUAAGGUUACGUGGAAUUAACGAGUGUUAUGUUUAAAUCCCUAGAAUCCAAACCCGAAACCCCAAACCCCAUAUUCCUUAUUUUCUACUUCAUAUAUUCCAAACCCCAUAUUUAUUUUUAGGUUUCGUCGUUAUUUCCUCGUUGUAUUACGUUAUAUUUACGACGAUUUCAUCCUACGUGGUUUUUACGACGAAUUCAUCCUACGUGGUAUUUACGACGAUUUAGUCCUACGUGGAAUUAACGAGUCCUUCGUCGUUAUUUACUCAUUGGAAUACGAGGACUUUACGACGAUUUAAGGUUACGUGGAAUUAACGAGUGUUAUGUUUAAAUCCCUAGAAUCCAAACCCGAAACCCCAAACCCCAUAUUCCUUAUUUUCUACUUCAUAUAUUUCAAACCCCAUCUUUAUUUCCAUUCCAAACCACAAUUCCCACAUUUGCUUAUUCAUAAAACAAACUCCCACAUUACCUUAUUCAUAAAACAAACCCCACAUUAUCUUAUUCAUAAAACAAACUCCCUCAUCUUAUUCAUAAAACAAAUACAUCAUUCGGAUACAUCGACAUUCUCGUCAUCACUAGAAACAUCAUCAUUUUCAUUAAGCUCGUCUUCAACAGUUUCGUCUGUGGCAUCAUCGGUAAGAUCUUCGUACUCGUGAUUAUGCGGAUCAAUGAGAAGGAUAUCAUCAAUUUCUUGUUCAGGUUCCUCAACUUCAUUUAUCUGUUCUUCUUGCAAUGGUGGUUCUUCUCCACUGAUGAUUCGUCCUCGAGGUGUAACUUUGAUUACUGCUAACCAAUUUAUACAUGAAUCUCUCAUCCGAGGGUAUGGAAGGAAGCUAACUUGGUCUGCUUGUGAAGCUAAGAUGAAAGGCUCGAACUUGUUGUACCUUCGUCCACCGUUGACAUCAACUACACCGAAUUUGUUAGACCGAACACCUCUGUUGACGACGGGGUCGAACCAUUCACAUUUGAAAAGGACGCAUUUCAGCUUCAGUAUCCCUGGAAAUUCGACUUCAAUAAUCUCCAUCAAGAUCCCGUAGAAAUCUGUUUCCCCUUUCACACAUAUUCCAUAGUUACUGGUCGCUCGUUGUCUACCAUAGUCAUAUGUAUGAAAAGUAUAGCCUCGUGUGAAAUACAUCUGUGAUGUGGUGACCUUUACAAGUGGAGAUUGAAUUACUUCGUGUAACCACUUAGGAUAAUCUGCAUCGUCGUCGUCAUAAUCAACCUGCAAAAAUAAAGAGAAUGUUAAUGAAAUACAGAUAAUGUAUGAAAUUUUUUUUAGUUAAUACCUGAUUCCGCAACCACUUAAUGAAGUGUUGAUCUUUCCUUUUGUCUACGUCACUUGUGGAUAUACCAGGAAAUGUUUCUUCGACUUGAGAAACAAAUAGGCUGUAAAAUCACAUUUUAUAGGAAUGAAUCUCUCGCAAUUAUACAAUUAAUUAUACUUAUAUGUGUUUCGAAGUGUCAAUAUAUGUUACCUUUCAAAAUAACGAAUCAAUGGAUCUUCGCAAUUGAGUAGAAUAUAGGUGUGUGCACUAUGAGCGUCUUGUUCACUCGACCACCAAACCUCUUUAGACUUCCCACCGAGUCGCCCAAUCUGGCUAAAGAUGUCUGGAACACCAGCAACUGCAUAUGUUGGCGCAACACCACCAUCAUCAUAUCUUCUUGGAGCUCUUCUCUGUGUACGUACUUUUGACGCAAAGUAGUACGAUGUGAAGUGAGAAACUUCUUCCGUCAAACUUCCAGCAAUUAUAGAACCUUCAACUUUGGCGAGGUUCUUUGCUUUUCCCUUCAAAUAUUUCAUGGCUCGCUCAUACUGAUACAUCCAUCCGUAAUGUACAGGUCCACGAAGCAAUGCCUCAUAUGGGAGGUGGACAGCUAGAUGCUCCAUGACGUCAAAAAAUCCGGGAGGAAAUAUCUUCUCCAAGUUGCACAAUAAGAUGAGAAUGUUCUCCUGAAGCUGUUCCACAACUUCUUCUUUAAGAGUGCGUGUGCUCAGAUCCCUGAAAAAUGCUCCAAUGCCUUUUAUAUUCAAAAAAAAAAUUAAACACAUUGUUAGUCAUAUAUUAUUUUGUAAAUUAUUGUGAUAUAAUACACUACGUACCUGCAAGUGCUUCAUGUACGUUUGUUGGAAGUAGCUCCGCAAAUGCAAAGGGCAGUAGUCGUUGCAUAAAUACAUGACAAUCAUGACUCUUCAUCCCGGAGAAAUUUUGACCCUUUUCAACACAUCUAGAGAGAUUCGAAACAUACCCAUCGGGGAACUUCACUUCUGAUGCCACCCAGUUGAACAACACCGACUUUUUUUCUAAAGAUAAUCUGAAUAUCGGAACGGGAACUUGUCCAUUGCUUUUAAUAUGUAACUCGCUUCUUGAGCAAAUAUCCGGCAAGUCCAACCUCGAUUUUAUGUUGUCUUUUGUCUUCCCUGGGACAUUCAAUAUUGUAUUCAUGAUGUUCUCAAAGAAAUUCUUCUCUAUAUGCAUCACAUCGAGGUUGUGGCGCAGAAGAAGAUCCUUCCAAUAUGGCAACUCCCAAAAUAUACUCUUCUUGUGCCAGUUGUGAUGAACACCGUAAGAAUCUGGCAUAUUACGAGGGACAUGCCAAUUACCACCCCAACGAACUGUUUCGUUAGCUCCGUAGUAGUCGAUUUGCGCUUCAAUUUGUUCUCCAGUUAGAUAUGGAGGAUGAGUGUCUCUCACAACCCUUUUGUGCCUAAACAAAUUCUUGUUUCUUCGGUAAGGAUGGCCAAUGGGAAGAAAUCGACGGUGACAAUCAAACCAACUUGUCUUCCUACCAUUCUUCAGUUGAAACGCAUCUGUCGUUCCAUUACAAUAUGGACAAGCUAAUCUCCCAUGUGUAGUCCAUCCAGACAACAUCCCAUAGGCAGGAAAAUCACUUAUGGUCCACAAAAGCAUCGCUCGCAUCGUAAAAUUCGUCUUCGUUGAACAGUCAUACGUCCUCACCCCUGUUGACCACAAAUCCUUCAACUCUUUUAUCAGUGGUUGUAGGAAAACAUCCAAGGACCUUUUUGGAUGGUUCGGACCAGGUAUUAAUAUGGUCAAGAAUAGUAACUCCCGUUGCAUGCACAUCUCCGGUAGCAGGUUGUAUGGAGUAAGAAAGACUGGCCACAAUGAAUAUUGUCUCCCUGACAUUCCGAACGGACUAAAUCCAUCUAUGCAUAAUCCGAGAUACACAUUCCGGAUAUUGCUAGCGAAAUCUGGAUGUACUUUGUUGAAAUGUUUCCAGGCUCUUGCAUCUGAUGGAUGAGUCAUCUCACCAUCCGUCUGAGUAUGCUCGGCAUGCCAUCUCAUCUUUCCAGCAGUCUGCUCUGAUUGAUACAAUCUUUUCAAUCUAUCUGUAAUUGGUAGGUACCACAUCCUUUGGUACGGUACCCUAUUACGUCCCCGUCCUUGCGGCUUGAAUCGUGGCUUCUUGCAGAAUCGACAUUCUUCUAGCUUCUCAUCAUCUCCCCAAUAGAUCAUGCAGUUGUCGAUGCAAACAUCUAUCAUCUCCAAAGGCAACCCAAGACUAUAAACCAGUUUCUGAAUCUCAUAAUAAGAAUCAGCAGACACAUUGUCUUCCGGCAAGUACUCUUUAAACAAGUCCGCCCAUUCGUUCAUGCAACUUUCAAGUAGAUUGUGAUCAGUUUUAAUAUUCAUCAUUCUAGCAGCUAACGACAAUUUAGAGAGACCUUCUCUACAACCACUGUAAAGUGGUUGAUUCGCCGCGUUUAACAUUUCGUAAAACUUUUUUGCAUCUAUAUUAGGUUCUUCAUCUUCAUCAUGAGCUACGAAUGCAUCAGCUACCAUAUCAUGAACCCUAUCAUAAUCUACCAUCUCUUCCUGAUGGUAACUAUGUUCAUUAUGCAAAUGAUGAUCAACCGGUUUUUUUUCCUGAAAAUUGUUAUUACUACUACUUGCUUCAUUCUGAUCAUAAUUAAAACCCUCUCCAUGUUGAAACCAGAUAUAGUAAUUUGCCGUGUAACCUCUAUUUAUUAAAUGCUUCCAAACAUUUUCACGAUUUGCCAGUUUCGAAUUGUUGCAUUUCCGACAAAGACAGAACAUCUUACCACUUUCUUGGGCGAGCGGUGUUGAAUCUGCUUGAUGCAUAAAUGUCUCCAGACCCGCAAGGUAUUCUUUCGUCACUCUCCCGUUAGCAUCUCUAUGCAUAUACAUCCACUUCCGCAACUCGUAAAUAGUCCCGGAGCCAGCCAUUUUUUUUCUUUCACGUUUUUUGUUGUUGGUGUGUUUAAAAUGAUGUUCAAACAUCCAUAUUUAUAGGAAAAUUCGAAUCUGGUAGUUGUAAUUUUGCUAUGAAUUUAUGACGAAAAUCAAUUAGGUGGGCAAAAAAAACGUGUAACGCCUAUAAAGUUGGUGGAUUCAAAAAUUUCCUCGCUAAAUACACGUAAACUAUUACCUCGUAAAUACCACGCAAAGUUUACGUCGUAUUUACGAGGAAAUAGUUUUUCCUCGUAAAAUACUCGUAAAAUUACAUCCACGUUACGACGAAACAGUUUUGUCGUUACGUUACGAGGAAAUAACGAUGACUUUAGUUUUUCACGUAAAUUCGUCGUAAACUCGACGCAAACUUACGAGGAUUGUUUUUCCUCGUUAAUUUUCGUAGUUAACCAUGUGUUUUUUUGUAGUGUUACCGUUUUUCUAUUGGUAUCAUUACAAAAAAAAACCAUAUUAGGUUUAUGUAAAAUUCAAAUAUAUCUUCUCUUAAACAAGUUAAACUUGCUAAGCUCUCACUAAAGAGAAAAUAUUAUGAGAACGAAAAAAUACAAGUCAGAAUUUCACUAUUUUCAAAAAAAUAAUUUUAAAUAAAUGAAAUUUUCCAAAAAACAAUUAACAAAAAAAAGUAUUUAUAUUUACAUUAGUUAACCAUAAAUUCUUAAUAUACGACAAAAUUACAUACACUAACUUUCAAAAAUAAUUAUGUCAAAAUAAAGUUAAAAUCAAUUUCUCAAAACCAAAAAGGGUUAAAAUCAGUUUAAAAUGACUAAAAAGUACCAAGAAGAAAUUAACUAAAUAUCUAGGUUAAGUUUUUGAAAAUUAAAUUUUAAAAGUGUUGACAUUCUUAAAAAAACAUAUAUGUCAAUAUAAAAUAGAAAUAAGCUUAAAUAUGUUUUAAAAACAAAAUUAUAAGAUAAACAUUUAUGAAUUAAUAAGUUGUUUAGAGCUGCUUUUGAUUCUCAGAAAAUCGCAUUUACAUUUUUUAAUUGUUACCUUCAAUCUAUCAAUAUACCAUUAGAUUUUUCCAUCAUUAUUUAUAAGAAUUUUGGUCAGAACAUCACCAAUUAAUGCAUUGAGAAUUUUUUACAAUUAAAAAAAAAAAUCUAAAUUACUUCUUCGUACUCCAACACCUUCGUAAGCUUAAGAAUAGUGGAAAUAAGUUUCUACUGUGAUAUAUGUAGAUCCUAAAAUCUACACUAAGAAGUUGAUAGUGAUCGGGAGUUCAAUCUAGGGAAGAAAUAACAUGGGCAACGAUAUCUUUAGAACACAACGAUGUAAUCAAGUAUGAGUCGACAAGAAUGGAAUAUAUUCGCAGGUCGAAUAUCAUAGGGAUAUCGGGAUUAAGAAGGAUCGUGAUUGAACUCGGGAUCGAGCUGCCUACGUACCCGUCAAGGGAUCAAGUUUAAACAUAGUUCGAUUAUAAUCAUCUCGAAAAAUAUGUCGGUUUCUUCGGUCAUGGGCGAGACCUCGACUUCGUCGGUCCCGAGCUCGAUGUUUGCUUCAAGCUCUCUUGUCUUGAAUAAUUAGUAGUUAGUGUACGAUUGAUAAGUUAUCGAACUGCAUAUGAUCUCUUUAUAUCGAUCUUGUCGUAUGAAGAUAAGGUCGAUCAUUAACAUGAUACGAGGGUCGUUAUCGUCAUGGAUUCUUGUUUUCACAAUUACAAAGAUGUGUUUACGUCGUGAGAUGAUUAUUGGGAAUCUCAUCUCUCUCGUUCUUCUUAAACCAUAAAGAAAUGGAUGACUUGUUUAAUCAUUAAACAGAGAUAUAAUGAUUCUAUCAUGUGUUGGUGGAAGAAGAUGUCGAUCUUGCCGAGACCGAAGUCUCUCCACCUCUUCGUCAGUCUUUAUUCUUUUGUUUUCAUCCUUUUUGUCUUUGUUUCGUCCCCAGAGAAGAUGCAUUCUUCGUUAGAUCCAAGGCCUCUUUUAUAUGAGAGCAAGGUUGCUGCAAGAAGCUAGUAAUAUGGCUAAUAAUUUGUUGCACAUGCUCCACCUUUCUAGCUACGACCUAUUCUUUAUUGAUCACUCUCCGAUAUAUAAGGAGAAUGAUUCUCUUUGUUCUUUGACUUAUUCAUACUCAAAGAACCUCGGGCUCUAUGGGCCGACUUCGGGUUACGAGUUCUCAUGGGCCUGUCUAAGCUCAACUCGAAGUCGUCGUUAGCCGGUUUCUUAUCAUUUUGGCGGGAAGGAUUUAGUGCUAAAUUCUGGUCCAACAAUAUACAAACAAUAUUCCAAAGUUAUAACUUUUUUAAAUUUACCAGUGACUAAUAUAUCUGCAUAUGUCUAAUGCAAUCUAUCAAAAGUACUAUUAUGUAGUAACUAAAUAUGGAAUCGUUCAUCCUGAAAUCUACUAUAUAUUUCACAUUUUUAUAGCAAAUAAUUAUUUACAAAAAAAUAAAUACCAAAAAGGUUACUGAAAAUAAAUUAUGGCUUCAAAACUUAAAGAAUUACUGAAUCAUUUUAUUGGUCAUCAAAAUUUACAGAUUUAAAUAUUAGAAAUUAUUACACAUUUAUAAAAUUAUAUAUUUAUAUGAAAUAAAGGUUAUUUACCUAUAUUUCAAAAAAAUAAUUUAAAUUCAAUCAGAUGAUCUAUAAAAAAUAUAUAAUAUACAUACUAUAAUAGAAAACAUUUUUAUUUUAUUAAAUGUAGAGUAUUAUAAAUUUUAAGAAAGAUUUAAACAUGAUUACUAAAAGUUUAAUAGAAAAAUUUAAUAUGUUAACGUAAAUUAAUGAUAUUUCAAACAAAUAAAAUAUUUCGUAACAAAUAAAUGACAUAAUAUUUAAAAAACAAACUUAAUUUUUUAAAAAAAUCUAAGGUUUAAGUUAUAUUUAACAUUAAUAUCAUAUAAUUUUAUAGACAAACGACAGAUACGCGCGGUAAAAUCUCUAAUAAAUAUUAAAAGGACUUUUGGAGCAGUUAUCAAAAUCACCUCUAUAAAAAAAUUAAAUCACAUUUAGAAUCUAAUCAAAGUUACUUCAUAAACAAACUGUCAAAUUGGAAAAUUCUCAGCAACGUCUAAGAAAUUUAGUGAGCCUAAAUAGCUUGAAGAACAAGGUAUAGAUGCAAAAGUUUCUUUAUUUCCCAUUUAUAUAUAUCUUUCUACACCCAGUAUGUACAGCAUCAUUAUCAUCAUAACAAAUCAGAAUCAGAAGAGACACACUAUAACGAAAGAUAAAAAAGGACAACUACAUCAUCUACUCAUACAUUAAAAUCCCUAGCCUCUAUGAUCUCUCCUAUUCCUUUCAUACUCAAGAUCAUCAGUAGGAAGCUCAAACCGACAAACCGGGCAUGUGUUCUUCAUCUCUAGCCAAGGUAGUAUACACUCUCCAUGAUAGUAAUGCCAACAAGGAAGCCUAGAAACUUUCUCCUUCACCACAAAAUCACCAAUGCAGAUCGCGCAAGCAAUGUUCCCGCUGCUCAGUUCCUCAGAGGUGAUCUCCACAACAGGAAGCUCAUCAACAACCCUUUUGGACGCGGGAGGACUUGCCAUGACCGAAGGCUCUUGAUCGAAUGGUUGCACAAAAACAUCAAAGUAAUCUACAUGGUCGUCACCACCGGGUUCAGGAAAAAUAGCUAGAAUGUCUUCGUAAGUCACAUCCAUAAUAGAACUGCCUUCAAAAACGCCCAUCAUGAAAUCGUCUAGAGCUUCUUCGUUAAAAUCUUCAAGUAGAGCAUAGUUGUUAACAGGUAACGCCAAUUCAUCUCCUUCCUCCACAUGACUAGUAGGUUGGACAGGAUCUAAUUCCCAAUCGAGUACUUCGUCAUCAGCCAUCAACAUGCCUUCUUCCUCCUCCGCGCAAAAGAGCUCUUCAAUAAGAUCCGUACCAGCUUCGACCCGACCCGAAUCAGUUUCCUUAUCCCCUGUAACCGAAUCACACCGUAUCUGACCCGACCCAGCCCCGGACCCGAUUCCGAGCCUUAAAUCAAUCUCCCCAUCCUCCUCCAUGUCUACACCACGCGAGACACGUUGCAUCUGAUUCCGCCCGGCCGUCUCGAUCUCGUGCGACUCUCUACCGAAGAAAUCGAUGAAGGAGUUCUCCAGAUUCGAUUCCGAAUCCAUAGGGGACGAUCCAGACUCUGAGAAACGGGGAUAUGGAUUGGUUUCUCUCUGAGGCAAGCCGGCGGAUAAGUUCAUGGCAGAUCGAGAAGCCUCCGCAUUGGUUGAGCUACCACCACCACCACCACGUCCACCGUCUUCUUCGACGUUAAUUGGAAAACCGAAGAGUUUCGCCAUUGCUCUGAGAGAGAAGAGAGUUCAAACUAUUUUGUGAGAAUGGACCAAAAAUAUUCGUAAAUAUUACCACUCAAGGAUUAUAUGAUUUUACGACGGUGUAUCGUAUCUUAUUUAUAUGUUUGGGCCAAUUUUGCGGUGUAAAAAACAGUCAAAUAAAUAAUAAAUUUACACAUUUUUACCAAAAAAAAAGUACCAACUCUUCGUCAAUGAAUUUGUAUUGACUAUGCUAAAUUAGAUGUAUUUUUAAUUAAUAUUAAUUUUCAUUUAACCGACAUUUAUGUUUUUCGCAGAAAUUAAUUACGACGGUAUACUUGGACCAAUAUUAGGGUGAGAAAACAGUCAAAUAAAUAAUAAACUUACACAUUUUUACCGAAAAAAGGUAUGAAUUCUUCGUCAAUGAAUUUGUAUUGACUGAGCUAAAUUAGAUGUAUUUUAAUCAAUAUUAAUUUUUACUUAAUCGACAUUUAUUUUAUUCACAGAAAUUAAUUAUGACGAUGUAUUUUAUAUGUUUGGACUAAAUUGGCCCGAGAAAACACGGUCAAAAAUAUAUUGAAUUUACACACUUUUACCAAAAAAAAGUACGAACUCUUCGUCAAUUCAAAAAAACAUAUGAAUUUGUAUUGACUGAGCUAAAUUAGGUGUAUUUUUUAAUCAAUAUUAAUUUUCACUUAACCGGCAUUUAUUUUGCUCGCAUAAAUCAAUUAUGACGGUGUAUCUUAUAUGUUAAGGCCAAUAUUGGGCAGAGAAAACACGGUCAAAUAAAUACUGAACUUACAUAUUUUUACCAAAAAAAGGUACGAACUCUUCGUCAAUCCAAAAAACAUAUAAAUUUUUGUUGACUGAGCUAAAUUAGGUGUAUUUUUAAUCAAUAUUAAUUUUCAUUUAACCGACAUUUAUUUUGUUUACAGAAAUCAUUUUUGGGCCAAUAUUAGGCCCAAAAAACACGGUCAAAUAAAUAUUGAACUUACACAUUUUUACCAAAAAAAGGUACGAAAUAAUCGUCAAUUCAAAAAAACAUAUGAAUUUGUAUUGACUAAGCUAAAUUAGGUGUAUUUUUAAUCAAUGUUAAUUUUUACUUUACCGACAUUUAUUUUGUUCGGAUAAAUCAAUUAUGACGGUUUAUCUUAUAUGUUUGGGCUAAUAUUGGGCCGAGAAAACACGGUCAAAUAAAUAGUGAACUUACACACUUUUACCAAAAAAAAGGUAUGGACUCUUCGUCAAUCCAAAAAACGUAUAAUUUUUUGUUGACAGAGCUAAAUUAGGUGUAUUUUUAAUCAAUAUUAAUUUUCACUUAACCGACAUUUAUUUUGUUAACAUAAAUCAAUUAUGACGGGGUAUCUUAUAUGUUUGGACCAAUAUUAUGCCGAGAAAACACAGUCAAAUAAAUACUGAACUUAUACACUUUUACCAAAAAAGGUACGAACUCUUCGUCAAUCCAAAAAACAUAUAAAUUUUUGUUGACUGAGCUAAAUUAGGUGUAUUUUUAAUCAAUAUUAAUUUUCAUUUAACCGACAUUUAUUUUGUUUACAGAAAUCAUUUUUGGGCCAAUAUUAGGCCCAAAAAACACGGUCAAAUAAAUAUUGAACUUACACAUUUUUACCAAAAAAAAGAUACGAAAUCUUCGUCAAUUCAAAAAAACAUAUGAAUUUGUAUUGACUGAGCUAAAUUAGGUGUAUUUUUUAAUCAAUAUUAAUUUUCACUUAACCGGCAUUUAUUUUGUUCGAAUAAAUCAAUUAUGACGGUGUAUCUUAUAUGCUAAGGCCAAUAUUAUGCCGAGAAAACACGGUCAAAUAAAUACUGAACUUACACAUUUUUACCAAAAAAAGGUACGAAAUAAUCGUCAAUUCAAAAAAACAUAUGAAUUUGUAUUGACUAAGCUAAAUUAGGUGUAUUUUUAAUCAAUAUUAAUUUUCACUUAACCGACAUUUAUUUUGUUUACAGAAAUCAUUUUUGGGCCAAUAUUAGGCCGGAAAAACACGGUCAAAUAAAUAUUGAACUUACACAUUUUUACCAAAAAAAGGUACGAAAUAAUCGUCAAUUCAAAAAAACAUAUGAAUUUGUAUUGACUAAGCUAAAUUAGGUGUAUUUUUAAUCAAUGUUAAUUUUUACUUUACCGACAUUUAUUUUGUUCGGAUAAAUCAAUUAUGACGGUUUAUCUUAUAUGUUUGGGCUAAUAUUGGGCCGAGAAAACACGGUCAAAUAAAUAGUGAACUUACACACUUUUACCAAAAAAAAGGUAUGGACUCUUCGUCAAUCCAAAAAACGUAUAAUUUUUUGUUGACAGAGCUAAAUUAGGUGUAUUUUUAAUCAAUAUUAAUUUUCACUUAACCGACAUUUAUUUUGUUAACAUAAAUCAAUUAUGACGGGGUAUCUUAUAUGUUUGGACCAAUAUUAUGCCGAGAAAACACAGUCAAAUAAAUACUGAACUUAUACACUUUUACCAAAAAAGGUACGAACUCUUCGUCAAUCCAAAAAACAUAUGAAUUUGUGUUGCAUGAGCUAAAUUUGGUGUGUUUUUAAUUAAUAUUAAUUUUCACUUAACCGACAUUUAUUUUUUUCACAGAAAUCAAGUAUGACGGUGUAUCUUAUAUGUUUGGACCAAUAUUGGGCCGAGAAAACGGUCAAAUAAAUACUGAACUUACAUUCUUUUACCAAAAAAAUGUACAAACUCUUCGUCAAUCCAAAAAAAAUAUGAAUUUGUGUUGACUAAGCUAAAUUAAGUGUAUUUUAAUCAAUAUUAAUUUUCACUUAACAGACAUUUAUUUUGUUCACAUAAAUCAAUUAUGACGGUUUAUCUUAUAUGUUUGGACCAAUAUUGGGCCGAGAAAACGGUCAAAUAAAUACUGAACUUACACACUUCUACCCAAAAAAAGGUAUGAACUCUUCAUCAAUUAAAAAAAGGUAUGAACUCUUUAGUCAAUAUUAAUUUUCACUUAACCGACAUUUAUUUUGUUGAUAGAAAUAAAACGAUGUCGUUUUACUAAAAUAUUAAAAAAACUAACAAAAUUCACUAUAAAAUAGUGAGCUUACGUUUUUUUACUAAAAAACGUGAAUGUUUCACUGAUCCAAAAGAUAUAACUUGUUUUCAGUUCGGAUUUUGGAUUCUUGGUUUAUAUAUAACUAGUAUCACCCGCCGUGCUAAUGCACGGAUCAAUUUUACAAACUUUUAAUUUUUUUUGAACAUGUUACUGACUUUAAUUUUUUUUUGAACAUGUUAUAAUCUUCAAUAAGAAUUCAGAACUAAAUUAUUUUAUGUCAAAAUCAUUUCUGAACCUGAAUAACAAUGGUGCCUUCAAAUUUAAAGAGAGAGGUUGAAAAUAGGAGGGCUUAAACAAUAAUUUUGAUAUUAAAUGGUUUACAUGUUUGCCAUAUUUUUCAAUAUUAUUGAGAUUAAAAUUUUGAAUUUUUUUUAAAGUAAAAAUUUUGAUUUUUAAUCUUACUUAUUUUAGUUUUUAUCCACAUUGCCUAUUUUUUUCUAAGAUUAAAAUUUACAAAUCUACCUUGUUUUAUAAAAAACGUUUUCUUGAAUUAUUAUUUAAAGGGUUUGGGAAAAGUGUUUAUCUAAAACAUUAAUUAUUUUCUGUUUUUAGAUAGUUAUCACAACAACAUAGGAAAAUUGUAAAAGAAAACUUAUGAAAUUUCAAAAAAAAAAAAAAUUUAUUUUUUUCAAAAUUAAUUACAGAAAAUGAUUAGAAAAUUAACUUUAAGAAAUUGCAAAGACUAAAAAAAAGGUAAAGAAGGUUAUUGUUUACCUAAAUUUUGAAUGGUCAAGCCUUCUGCAUCCUUCACCAACUCAGAACAUUUCUCUUCAUUUCUUCAACAAUACAAAGAUUGAUGCUCAAUCUUUUACACAGAUUGCAACAUAAGUUUAAUAUAAGCAGGUUAUGAAACUUAGUGAGAAAUCCUUCAUACAAAAAUAAUCCAUGCGAUGAAUGAUAAAAAAAAUCAAAUUAAUGUAGAAAGAAAGAAAAUAUGAAGAUGCCCGUCAGAACGAUGACCGGUUUGUAGAAAAUUUUAUUUGUUGAAAUGAUUUUAUAGUUCGGUGCACAAAAAAGAUGAUUUUGAAGUUUAUUCAGAUUAGCCUAAUCAGUUUACUUGAAAAAAAAAGGGAUCAUGGCUAUAAUUGAGGAAUACGGUUUAGAUAUAUGCAACUUUUUGUUCUUUCUUUACUCGAUACAUACAGCUUUAUUUUUCAUCUAUACUCGACACAUGCAGCUUUAUUUUUCAUCUAAGGAAAAUAUAAUUGUAUCAAUAAUACAUUUAAUUUUGCUUUUAAAAUUAAUUUGAAGCAAAAAUCAUAUGUCAGAAUUUGAUUGGUCAUGUGACUUGUGAUUUAGUAUAUAAGAGAUUUGUCUUGGCCAAAAUAAAUUUAUAUUUUUGGAUCAAUGGAAUUUUAUGCUUUUUAGUAAAAAUGUGUAAUUUUAAUAUUUUCAUGGUGAAUUUUAUUAGUUUUUUUUUCAGUUUAGCAAAAUAACGCCGUUUUGAUUUCCGUUAAAAAUAAAUGUUGGCUAAAUGAAAUUUAAUGUUGACUAAAAUAGUAUCUAAUUUGGCUCAGUCAACGCAGUUCCAUAUGUUUUUUUUUUUGGAUUAACGUAGAGUUCAUGUAUUUUUUCUUUGACAAAAAUAUGUAAGUUCAAUAUUUAUUUGAGUUUUUUCUCAUAUUAGGCCAUGUAAUAGCUGCAGCAAUUAAACAGGUUCGGACAUUAAAAAAUGUCUAACGCAGUUGCCGGGUUUCGAACAUAAAUCACCUAGUUGACCGAUGGGAAUAUUUAUUUAUUUGUUGCGCACGAUCUGAUACUCUGAUAGUAGCCGAGACUGUCUCUGUUCGGAUUCAGUGGUUUAAAGAUAGUAUGAGACUACUAAAUAAGAUUAAAAAAUCGAUAUUUAAAAGUUCAAUAUGUGUGCUUUGAACAAAAACGCAGAACAUGAUGAAUAGUGUUUCAAAUGAAAAAAAAAAGAAGCAAAUCUUUUGCAGUUCAAAAUCUAAAAUUUCUGUGUAAACAUUAACCUCUAUGAUGACGAGGCAAUAACCUCUGUAAUCUUCUGGCGUUUCAUCUCUGGCUCAUCCUCAACGACAUCUUCUUUCUCCUCUUCUUCUUCUUCUUCAGCUCCUGCUGCUUCCUUGUGGCCAUUGAGAUGACCGUUCACAGCUUCAUGACCAAUAAGCGACACGUGUUUGCUUGUGAUUUGACGACCAGCCCUCACCUUUGGUCCCCAAUGCUUCUCUGGAUUCGGCAGAAACCUCGCUACUUUCUUCACCUGUGCUUUGCUUAGUGAACCAACGUGGCGCGAAAAGUCAGCCUGCCCAAAAGAAAAACAUUGUUUUAAGAUUAUAAUUUAAUCGAGCAUUAUAACAAUGGCAAAACGAAAGAAGAACCUGAUGAGACGGUUCUUUAGACAGAAUCACACUCCCAGGAUGGUCAGGUGACUGCGCCUUCACAGGAUGAUUCUUCACCUAUAAAACCAAAACAGUUUUAAUCAGUAUCACUGGCCAAGAACACAGUUAAAAAGCUUAGUUUUACCCAGCAACGCAUGAUGUCCCAGAUAAUCUCCAUAGGAGCAUCAGUUUUAAUCCCGAGAGGGUUCACAUGUGACCCGGAGACACGGUACUUCGCAUUGAUCACCGCUGAUCUAAACAUAGCAGCUGAAGGCGAAGUACAUUUCAGCGUUGCAGCGAGAUUGUGAAGGCUCAAAAAGAGCGGAACAUCUGGCAGUUCCUCUGAGAUUGUGGUAAGCAUAGAGCAUAUUUUGUCGUAAGCAGGAUAUCUAUCUUUCAUGGACUUAACACCGUUCAGUAUCGAAGUCACCCAUUCUUGAUCAUGCAUUGGAGCAGACCAUAUCGGCCCACCCAUGUUGUAUUUCUUCCCACAGUGAGUGCAGUCCUGAGGAACAACGGGACCAAGUCCUGCUUGAUACCUCACACUGUUAUGCUGCAACAAAAAGAGGAUUAUAAAUAAAGUCGAGUUUCAGAAACUAAGUACGCAAAAGAGACAGACAUGAAACCUUAGGGAGAGAUCUUCCAACGGAUUGAAGAUGAAAGGAGUCACAACCAAUGCAUUGAUAGACGUAAGAGAGCUUUAGUGGAGUGUUCUUCAUUGCACUCGCCGAACUGCAUUUUAUAAAAGGUUAAAAUCUUUUGCUUGUUUCUAGCUGAGGGAAGUGUUUGUUGAGAAGAGAGACUUACGUGUAGAUACGGACGAAAACACGGGCGUAGAAAUCAAUUUGGACUGAUAGCACAGGAACGAUAUACCGCUUGUAGCGGUUAGCAUGGCUCUGCCAAUCAAACAAUAUACUAAAGUCAAUAGAUCGAAAAUAAGGAGCUUUUAGAGAAGAAAUAGUAAAACAAUUACCUCAAUGCUAGCGAGGAGGAUCCGCAAGGCCAUCUCGUGACAAUAUUUGCCUUUCAGUGGAUAGGAACCAUAUCUAAUAAUGGACAUGUUUAAGAAAUUAAAGACAAAAUCAUAUAGUAUUUGUCUUGAGAAUAAGGUAAUAUAUACUUACUUGGAAUAGCAAACCUCACCAUUAGCACCACACAACACUGCCAUGUCAGUUGCUGUACACAUGAGCAACCCACCAUCGGCAACUGAUUGAACAGCUGAAUCAAGGAAGAUAGACGGCGCACCAUAUGGAUCAAGAUCAACCUAAGACAUCAAUUAACCAAAAAAUUAACACAAUAAGACAGUCAAUUAGAUGAAGAAACUUUCAGUUUUUCUUUUUACUAAAUGAGCAAAAGAAAAUUGGAGGCAUACCACAUCAAAUUCUUUUGGGUUGGUGAGCAUAUGGACACGAGCAUCAGUGAGAUGUGACUCGACCUUUGAAGUAGACAUCAAGCCAUUGAACUUUAUGUUUCUCUGGCAAGCUUCAACCGAUGCUUUUAUAGAAAAAAAAAAGGAUAAUACUUUAUUAUUCUGAGAAAUUAAAAUAAAAGUUUUAAAACGUCUUCACAAGCACAGAUGUUGGGAGAAAACAAGUACCUGGGUCAUUAUCUAAAGCCACAACUUGACCAAUUCCUUCAACUUCACGAGCGUAUCUCAAAGCCCGCAACCCGGAAGCUGACAGAGCCUACAAUGUUAAGACCGUUAUCUAACAGGAAAGCACAACUAAACAAAGUACAGUUAUUACAAUCAUAAAGGAAAGAAAAGAGGUAGUACACCUCAAGGACUCUUGGCGGCUUGAGUUCCCUUCGGGCCGGUUCAUACGUGGUCUUGGCAGCUUCCUUCGAUCCAUCCUUAGAUGAUGCCUCAUGUUCUUCUCCGUUAGUUUUACCAUUAUCCUCACCGUUUUCAGUAGGAGCUCCUUCCUUGGAAACUUCAGAGACAUCCUUUUCAACCACUUUACCAGAAGAUCUAGCUCUUUUGGAUAACAUCGCAUCAUGCUCUUGCUUGCGUUUGGAUAUAAACGCCCUCAGGACAGCAAUGGACAUGUCCCUAUUAUUCACCUAACCAUAACACCACGAUCAAUAAGUCCACCUCACAAAAAAAAAAUAUUCCUUUUAGUUUCUCCCAAACACAACGAUGAAACUAACACAUAACAUGCUAACUACUUAGUAACAAUUAGAAGCAAAAGCACUAAACUUGCAAUCUCAAACGAAAGAAAAGCCCCAAAAGCUAAUAACUUGAUCAAUCCUGAGAUUGCCCUUGAUUCAAUCCAAUCAAUUAUCAUUGCAGAAAAUUAAAACCAAUUAGAAACAGAGGAAGAAGGCAAAGAACAUGAAACCUGAGCUUUGUUGAAGAAGACUUUGUUCUUCUUGUGCAUUAGAACCUCAGCUUCUCCUUCCUUGAUAACUGUAUAAUCAUUUAGAUCUGUUGUCUCCAUUGCUGAUCUCAGACUCUUCUCUUUAGGGACAGAGGAUUCAGGAACUGAAUUAGCAACGCGAAUCUGUAAUAACCCGAACGGCGAAUCAAAAAUGUUGAAGAGAUGUCGACAACACUUGCCGGCUUGUCUGAAUGAGGAUAGACGAAACGCUAUCGCUUCUUCUUUCGGUUGCAGUUUCAGAGAGAGAGUGAGAGAGUGACGGAGUAAACAACCAAAGUUUUUAAACCCUACAAGGCCAUAGGAGAUUUUGCGAUUUUCCUUUAAUUUUUUUUGUUGGGAUGAAAUUGAUUAUAUCGAAACGUACGGGGUGCAAAUAAAAAUAGUUAGAAAAUAAAGGAAUCAAUACAAAAAAGGAAAAUAUAAUGGCCUAAACAGGGAACGAACCUGUGACCUUCGCGUUAUUAGCACGACGCUCUAACCAACUGAGCUAAUAGGCCANNNNNNNNNNNNNNNNNNNNNNNNNNNNNNNNNNNNNNNNNCCGCUCUAACCAACUGAGCUAAUAGGCCACUUGUGUUGACAAAAAUAAAACAAUAAAAUUUAAAGGAGAGGACAAAUAACAUAAAGAUAAUAAAAGAAGUGGCCUAUACAGGGAUCGAACCUGUGACCUUCGCGUUAUUAGCACGACGCUAUAACCAACUGAGCUAAUAGGCCAAAUUAGCACGCCGCUCUAACCAACUGAGCUAAUAGGCCACUUGUAGUAAACGGUGUUGACAAACAAAACUAAAGGAACAAAAUUUAAAAAGAGGACAAAUAACAUAAAGAUAAAAAUAAAGUGGCCUAUACAGGGAUCGAACCUGUGACCUUCGCGUUAUUAGCACGACGCUCUAACCAACUGAGCUAAUAGGCCAUUUGUUCAAUACCCAGACGCUCUAACCAACUGAGCUAAUAGGCCAGCUUGCUAAAUUCUAUGCUACAAACUAUUUAUAAGAGCUUUUCGACUUCAGGAUAUCAUUAUCAAGGUACGGAUGAGAGAAGAGAAGAGGUGAGGAAAGGGAAGAAGAAGAGAGAGAGAGAGAGAAUGCAGAGCUUAACAUCAAACGAAGUUGCGGGCUUCGCAGUAGGGGCUCUGCUUCUCGGCGCCACCAUCGCUGCUCCAAAAGUUGAUGCUUUCAUUGCCGCUGCUCAGAGAAGGUAACAAGUAUCAUUAUCUCAUUUCCUCAAUCAAUUCAUGUUCUGUGUGAUUAGCCAUGUCAUAAAGUAUCAGACUUUGGAUGUGAAUUGUUUUGCUUGUUAUGUCUUAUUGACGUAUGAGAUGAUGUAGACGAAUCGAUGAUGCUUGUAGUAACUGCGUAUAGUGGGGUUUUGAUUGUUUUUUUAUUUUAUUUUCUCAGUUUGCUGAACAUGUGAAAAUGGUAAAACUUUAGGAGUUUCUUUGUGAUAAAUUGUUUGAUAUCUACCAAAAGGAUAGAUUCCGACAUCAAAAAGCCUCUGUUGGGUUAUGUCUUUUGUCUUUCACUUUCUUCCAAGUUCUCUCCACUGUUAAAAAGUAAUAAUUUUCUUGAAAUUCUGCAGUCCUCACUGAAAAAGUUUUGAAAUCUUCAGGUAUUGAAUGAUAGCUUCAUGUUCAAAGGAUUAAACUGUUAUGAUUAUGAGUUUAUGAUUAUAGAUUCUGAAAAGAAAAGAAAAAUAAACUGACUUUUGUAAUGGAGAGAGACUGUGUAGGCAUUGGUGGUCUUAUAACUGAAUUCUCCAAGAAAUGUGAUAUAGGCUGCAACUGUCCUAUAGCUGAAUGAAACUAGACUUGUUCUUGAAUCUAUUAUCCAUACAAUCCUAUGUUUCUGAAAAGAAAAAAACAACUUUUGCAGGUCUCUUGGGAUGUGCACGAAGUGUGGAGAUGUAAAGAAUGUAGCCUGUGGUCGCUGCAAAGGGACAGGGACGAUCAAGUCAGGAGGUAUCUUUGGAUUCGGUGAGCCAGACCCAUCAUCAAACGCCAGAUCAGCCACUUGCGAUAAUUGCAAAGGCAGAGGUUGUUUCCCUUGCCCUGAGUGCUCAAAGUCUUGACACCUUUUUUGGUUAUUCAAUAGAUUGCCUCAAGACUUCAAAAAAAAAAACUACUUGUUUCUUUUUCGUGACCUUGUGAUAUAUAUGUAAUCAGUCCACUGGUAAUGUUGAUGUUGAAACAUGUCUUUAGUCUAAAUUCGUUUGAAAAGUAUGUUAUUCCAGUUUCUUUAUCAGAUUGGCAGUUUGAUCAGCUGAACCGGAUGUUGGUGUAUUAUUGAUUUUGUUACUCUUAACCGGGUCUUGUAGUCCCUAAACCGGAUAAAUCCAUUAAUCAUGAGCUCCUCUUCUCCUAUCCUUCUGUAAGCAACAGUAGCUAGGUGCAUAUUAGGAUUAGUGACUUCUUUUUCUUUAACCAAAAAAAAAACUCAAACCAACAUUUGAAGACGAAGAAAGAUGAUUGGUUGAAAACUACUAAUAAAUUGAAAUUUUUACACUUAGACGUACUUUUUCCUUCUUCCAUGACAUAUUUCUCUCAUGUCCGGUACUUUAUUAGAUUCAAAUGAUUCAACUAACCCAAAAAUACAAACUAGUUUAGUUACUUUUUUAACUCAUAUUUCCUUUUAUUUUAUUUCUUUUACUUAUCUCCACCAUAACCCACUGGUUCAUCUCUCUCCUCUUCAGAACCCUAAUGUGCUUCCACCGCAACUCAAGAAUUAAAUCUUCUCCAUCGUCUAGUUAAUCUCAGAUCUGUGAUUUCUUCCUUUUCUCGUUGCGGGACAUGUAACGUCGAAGCAUCUUUCCUCCGUCUAGAUGAAGCCACAAAUCGCGCGCCCUUAAUUUGCUUCAAUCUUCAAGAACCACCGCCGUUAAGAUAUCAUCUUAAGGCUACACUCCCCACCUUCCCGCCGUAACACAAGUCCUUCAUGACGUUUUGCUCCAACUCACUCAAUGUAAUGCCAUCACGGAACGAGACCAUGCGAGACAUCUGUGUUUUGUCUACCACAAAAUUCCAGUUUCUUUCGUCUCGACAGAUCCAUUCACCUGCCAUGGCCAUACAAUGCUCGUCCAUCUCUUGACCACAAGUAAUUAACCAUACAAUGCUUGUCCAUCUCUUGACCACAAGAAACUUGCGAGACAUCUGCGUUUGCGUUUUGUCUACGAUAAAAUCCCAGUUUCCUUCGUCUCGACAGACUCAUUCACCUGCCAUGACCAUACAAUGCUCGUCCAUCUCUUGACCACAAGUAAUCAACCAUAAAAUGAUUGUCCAUUUCUUGACCACACGAAACUAACGACUCGUUACUCCCUCACUUUAACAUUAACUAGAAAGAAAAUCUUUAUCUGGGAGAAAGGACAUUUUAGGGAGAGAAAAAACAAAAACAAAUCCAAUAGUACACCUCAAGUAUAAAGUGCUUAAAAAUGUAAAGGACCAACACAAAGUAUCCUUCUACGCAACUCUCUCUGAUAAAUUUGAUCAAACGUGUGAAAGAAAGCAAUUAUUUCUAAUAACUUAAAAAAACUAACCCAUUUCUCUCUCUUCUUUCUCCCGUCCAUCUCUAAAAGUAAAAAGCUAACCCCUUUUCGUCUUGCUCCGGCGUCGGAGGCAUCGGUGUUGCCGGUGUACGUUAGCUCCGGCGUCGGAUGCGUCUCCUCCUCAUCCUCUCCUUUUUUCUUUGCUUUAGUCACUUGUCUCUUCUCUUCUCUGAUAUGUGAAAUCUCUGGUAUGGCUUUGAAGUUGGAACCCUAGAUCCUCCCGGGGGUGAUAGAUCCAGUGGUUAUAGCUUGAUCUGGAGAUGAAUUGAGGCGGUGAGGGUUGCAAGUCGAUUGGAGUCGGCUUUUGAAGGUGGAGACACGACAUAUCUGUUUUUCCUUUUCUAGAUUUGGGUGUUGUCUCCGGCAGUGGUGGCGCGUGAGUGACGAUACAGGCUCUCUCCUCCGGUCUUCGUCUUGUUUCUCUUUUCCGAAGGUUUCCUUCGUUGUGGAGAGGAGUCUAUCGGCGUUCAUGUAUGUCGAAGCUUGGUGUCUUGUUUCGGUUUAUGGACUUGCUGGUGCUCAAGGGAGAUGGUGGUCGCGCACUAUCGGCGCGUUCUCAGUGGUGUGUGGUGGUUGUGAGUCAUCUCACCCCUGUGAUUUCGUGUGCAUCUUAAGGUCUAGAGUUUUGUGUUGUCGUCUAUGGCAGAGGAAAUUCAUUCCGGCGGUUGCUCUCCUUUUGCUCGUGCUCCUCAUGGUUUAGACUUCACAAUGGUCCUUCCUUUUCGCGCAAGGCGUGGAUGCUUCUUUUUCCUGAUUCGUUACUUCGUCUCGUUCUCCAGCGGGGGUUGAAGUCUGAAUCGCAAAGGUUGAGUGGAUAAGGUUCUCUUGUCCUUCUCAAGUUGUCGUGAAGCUUCUCUGGUUGAGUUAGACUGGUUUGUUUUGUGGCUUGGAGGCUUGUGUAGAGAAUGAUCAUCCCACUGUCAGGGAUUCCUCUUGGAUGGUCUGGCAGAUUGUUCUCUGUCUUCUUUUGCAGGUUUAGAAGUCAUCGUGUUCCUAAAUUUCCACCAUUGCGACAUAUCUUUGUUCGGUGGGUGGGUGUGUUUGUGGCUUUGGCUAUGGCAGGAUCCAUUCACCUUCCCGUUGGUUUUGCGAGGUUAGGUGGCUGCGUUGGUAUGCUUUCUCAUCUCUCAUUCCACUCGGGCUAGUGCUUAAUGUCAGUGUUGAAAGCAAGCUUGAAGCGAUCAUCAGAGACUAGCUACUCUGUCGAUGACACAAGAAGACCGGCAUCCGAGGCAACAAGGUAAACCUCACCCUUUAUGUGGUUAUCAUCGGUGGCAGAGAACGACUAAUGAUUUCUGAAGACAGCAGAGCGCUCUAGCGGAACGUGUCGGUAUGGUGGGCGAACGAAGCUAGUGUCGUAAUGUUAGAUUUAGAAAAUUUUGUUCAAAUCAAGCUUGUAAUCGACACUUGAAUUCCCGUUCUUUCGGGCUAAUUUAUAAAAUGUAAAUUAAAAAAAAAAAAGCAAUUAUUUCUAGUCAAUUUUAAGAAUUAAUAGUUUAAUACUAACGUAUUUCUAAAUUAAAUUAUGUAAGGGUAAAGAAUAUAAAUAACGAAGACAAGUAUAGAUACCCAGGACCUCGUAGUCUAGUGGUACUACCUCCUUGGGGAGGGGAGGUCGGCUGUUCGACUCGCGUGGAGGGGGAGGCGUGUCCAGGGCCCGUGAAAAGGUACAGACAAAGGCUGGUGCCGGGCGUAUGUGGUGGGCCGCAAGGCUAACACCUGGUUAAAAAAAAAAAAAAAAAAAAGACAAGUAUAGAUAAGUCACUGUUAAAAAGGAGGAUUUGCCUCAGCGAUCGCGCUUCCGAUAAAAGUCCAAUUCAAUCAUAAUACGACACGUGUCCGUCAGACCACAUCACCCAUCUUGUUACUGUUAAGAUCUCUUUCCUACUGUCUUUUUACUUUUACCCUCUGUAAAUCCGUACGGACUUCCCAUGUCACCUGAAGGUUUCUCUACAACAGUAAAAAAUGGAGUUCUUUAAACAUUUCAAUGGCGUGAUUUAAUAUCCUUAUUGAAUAAAACUUCAUGAAUCCAUAUAUAUUUCAAGCAAUUAGCAAUUGCAAUCCAGACAUACAUAUUCCACUCUUUGGAAUAAUAACCUUUAACAAAAGACGCGUACACUUCAUUUAAUUGACGUUUUGGAACUUUGACAGGGACUAUAUAUAUAAUUAAGGAGAAAAUAUAAUAUAGAAAAGCCAUAUGUAUAUUAUGUCCUCUUGUUAAAAUUUAGCUUCGUCACCGCAAAACCAUAUAUGUAUAUUAUAUUCUGUCCUCUUGUUAGAAUUUAGCUCCAUUACCGACAUAUUAUCACAGAGUUUCUAGUGUUGUAUUAGAACUUUAGAAGAUGCAUGCAUUGAUAUAAUGUUCAUAUAUACAUGAAAAUUAACCUCAAUUUUUUUUUGAAAAUACUUAAAGACCAAGACUUUCAUGCUAUGUAGUUAAAGAUGAAUGACAAUCCGCACUUGAUAUAUAAUUUUACAAAAGCGUCAUGAUAAAUGUGCACUAGCUAGCAUAAGCUAUGGUAAAAAUCGUGCUAAUUAAGAAGUAAAAUAAGCAAAUAUUACUUGCAUAUCCAUGCAAUUUCACACAGGAAUCUUGAAUAUGCACUGCAUGUCAUAGUAUGACUUCUGAAGUGUACUGCGACGGCUUGAGCUUGCCUACAAUACGAUUAUUUGCUAGUUUACUUUCCAAAGCUCGCAUUUUUCUAUCUAUCUUGUUCUUGGCCUAAACGAGUCUAAUAACUAAAACUCUUCCAAACAACUUUUUAUUCCCAAGUUUUUACCCGGUCGUAGGCUCGCUCGCAACUUCAUAAUCAUAACUUGAAAACAAAAGUAAAGCAUAAGUGCGCAAGUUGUAGUAGAUAUGAAUAUGAUGCGCGUGAUAUUGUGAAUAUACCUUUAAUUUUUUUGUUUUCCAAACUAAUGCAGUAAAUGAAAGCAACGUAUCAUAUCAUUUUCUGGUUGUUUUCAGAAGCAGCAGAAAAACAUCUACUACCUUAAAAUGGGUUUUCACGUGUCGAUUUCUUAUUGGAUAUGACUAUUCUUCAUUUAUAAAUUAAGUUUAAACCAUCAAGUAACAACAAAUGACAGUAAAUUUGUAAACAUAUUUUCCUAGCUAGUAUCUCUUUAUACAUACGUAUUUAGUCACCACGUAAGAGUGUAACUUCAAUUUAUAUACACACAUAUAUUAUACAUGCAUCGACCACGAGUAUGUAUAAACUAUACCAAUUUUCUUAACAUAUAUUAAAAACUUGACUCAUAGAUGUGAUAAUCGACCUUUAGGCCGCAUGUGUUUAGUUACGAGUCAAACAUCAUAAGUGAUACGUUUUCUAAAAAGGUUGUUUCAUCACAUUUAACAAAACAUAAACUAUUUGUUAUUAUGAUAUAAACAUAGAGUUCUUAAGAAAACAUAUGUUUAGAUAUUUUUGUAUAAUGUCAGGCAUAUACACCUAAAAUAGUAGACAGCAUACAUAUAUGCAUAUAGACAUGAAUUCUACCUGAAGAGAAGCACACAUAGAUUUUUUUCUAAAUUAAAUAAACUUACAACUCCAAAAUAUUCCCUACAAGUUAAAAAUUACCAAUUAAUAUGGUAAUAAAUUGAUAGGGAUGGUAAAAACUAAAAACUGAACAAAGUAAACCACGCGCCUACAGAGAGCGAGUGGGAUAUAGCAAGAGAGAUGGCUUGAAAUGAAAACACACCAAACCCUAACCUCAGCUUCACAAGUUUCUUAUCUUCUACUCCCACUAGAUUCUAUUCUACAAAAGAAACUUCAAUUAGGCUCACAACCACCUCCACACACUUCCAAGAACAAAGAACCCUGAACUCAAAAGUUUCUUUCUUCUUCUUCUACCUUACAGUUUCUUGUUCUUGAAAAUUAGGGUUAGUUUUCUUUUUUUCCCUUAAAUCUAUUCUCUAGACCUUAAAGAUCAGAUCUUUACUCAGAAAAAGAGAUACCCGACUCAUGUUUUUGUGUGUCUGAACAUAGAUAAGACAUCACAUAUCGAUAUAUAUAUUUGUGUGUGUAAAAGAGGAAACAAAAAAAAAUGGGAAGGGGCAGAGUAGAGCUGAAGAGAAUAGAGAACAAAAUCAACAGGCAGGUAACGUUUGCAAAACGUAGGAACGGUCUGUUGAAGAAAGCUUACGAGUUGUCUAUUCUUUGCGAUGCUGAGGUGGCUCUCAUCAUCUUCUCCAACCGUGGCAAGCUCUAUGAGUUUUGCAGCUCCUCAAAGUAAUAUAAAUCUCUCUCUCUCUCUCUUCAACUUUUUUUAUUUUCGGUUUUUGAUAGAUCUGAGCAUAGAUCUUUGUCUGAUCGAACUUGUUUGUUUGGAUAGAGAUCACACGAUCUUGAUGUCUAUGAAAGUGUUGAGCUUUAUUAGAUUUCUUGAUUCGUAUUAUUAUGACAUCUUGAAAUUUAAGAUCUGAUCUCUUUUUUUUUGUUAUAUUAAAUACAAAUAUUAAUUAGCUCAUGAGAAGAGUUUGCAAUCAAUUUAUGUUUUAUAUAAAUAUACAUAUAUAUAUAUAUGUGUGUGUGUGAUUAGAAACUUAAAAGUUGGAAACACAGAUUUCUAUGGAAAUAAGGAUCCAACGUAGAAUGAUAAUAUAUGGUUCCAUGCAUUAACUGGCUGUCAUUAGUUCAUACUUUAUGGUGGUUAAAACUUAAAACGUGUGUGUAUCUAUGAAAGUUCUUUUCUUAAAAAAAUUGUUUUCUUUCGUUUUGUGUGUAUAUGUUUUAUAUGUUAAAAUGGUCUAAUUACAUUAAGGGAUAACAAAUAUAUAAUUGUCGAAAUUAUUAUUUCCAUGUGUGGAUCGCAGAACUCAAAAGAAGAAAAAAAAUCCAUGUUAAUUAGUACAUAUGAGAAUAAUCUUUAAAUUUGAUAGGAAAAAUCUUGAUUAAAAAGUUAAGAGCUCAAAGUAUGUGGAUAUUAUAGAGACAAGCUAGCUAACGUGUCUGAUUAUUGAUGAUGAGUUGGGUUUGUGUCAUAUUCUGUCAAGUAUAUGAUCUUCUUCUUGGUUUAUAUAUUUUUAUUGAUUAAAAAUCCAUAUAGUAUUUAUAAAUCCAAAUAAAAUAUGCAAAUCCGGAGGUUUUUCUUAUGAUUUGAAUCUUUGUAUUUUUAACUAAAAAAUCCAAACAAAUCCAUUAUAAAAUCAAAUAUAUUAGUAAAUCCGUACGAUUGAAUAACACUUGAUUUGAUACAAAAUUUAUGUAUCAUUAAACCAAUAACACAUGAUUUUAAUACAGAUUUAAAAAUCAUAGAACCAAUAACACUAGAUUUAAUUCGGAUUUUCAAAUCCAUUAAAAUACAACAACCAAUAACCACUAUUUGAUUACAAAAUUCUUAUCCUCUUAAUUAACUUGUGUGGUUUUCGUUUCAGCAUGAUCAAGACACUGGAACGGUACCAGAAAUGCAGUUAUGGUUCUAUUGAAGUCAACAACAAACCUGCCAAAGAACUUGAGGUGUGCUCUUUAUAUUUAUUUAGGUGUUUAUAUCAUAUCAUUUCAACAAAGAUCCUUAUGUUUUUCCUUGGGAGUUUCAGAAUAGCUACAGAGAGUAUCUGAAGCUUAAGGGAAGGUAUGAGAGCCUUCAGCGCCAACAAAGGUAGAGAUCUCUCUCUCUCUAUCUAUCUUUAUAUACACACAUGUCAUUCAUAUUAGUGUAUUUGUGUUGGUGCAAGGAAUCUUCUUGGGGAGGAUUUAGGACCUCUCAACUCAAAGGAACUAGAGCAGCUUGAGCGUCAACUAGAUGGAUCUCUCAAGCAAGUUCGCUCCAUCAAGGUCAUAUCCAUAAAGCUAUUUAUAGACAUUGAAUGAUUCAAAUGAGAUUUGUGUAGUGAAAUUAAUGUUUUUUUUUUGUUUCAUUAUGACUACUAUUGCAGACACAGUACAUGCUUGACCAGCUCUCUGAUCUUCAAAGCAAAGAGCAAAUGUUGCUUGAAACCAAUAGAGCUUUGGCAAUAAAGGUAAAUGCAUUUUGAUGAAUUAGAUCCUGUUACUGGUAUCAAUAUAUUUCACAGCCUUUGAAGUUAUUAACAUUUUGGUGUAAAAAAUGUAAUUAGCUGGAUGAUAUGAUUGGUGUGAGAAGUCAUCAUAUGGGAGGGGGAGGAGGAGGAGGAUGGGAAGGCAAUGAACAGAAUGUUUCGUACGAGCAUCAUCACCAAGCUCAGCCGCAAGGACUAUUCCAGCCUCUUGAAUGCAAUCCUACUCUGCAGAUAGGGUAAAUGCAUGCUUGUCUACUUCGCUUGUCUUUGUUUGAGAUUCUUUAGUUUUUUGGUAUUAAGAGGACCAUAUAAUUUACGUUGGUGGUAUGAUGAUGAUGAUAACAGGUAUGACAAUCCAGUAGGCUCGGAGCAGAUAACUGCAACAACACAAGCUCAGGCGCAGCCAGGAAACGGUUACAUCCCAGGCUGGAUGCUCUGAGUGUCACAUUCUGAGAGUCAAUGUGAUCAACCUCACCAAACAAAAGAUCUGUUUUAAAUAAUAAUAGUAGUAUAGAACACAAGACUUGAAUUUAUAUAUAUAUAUAAGUGGCUAUGUAUAAUGUCCUAAGGAUCUGCAGGACCUAAGUGUCUUUUGGGAAACCUUGCUACAUUUAAGGAUUGAAAAUGUGUGGAACUUGUUUUACCAUUAGACUUGGUUAAUUAUUUAAGUACUGCACCAAUCUAAUGACAAACAUUGUGGAGUACCAAAUUAUAAACCAUCACAUAUUAAUAAAAGGGUUCAUACAAGAUGAUGUAACAAGUUUAAUGCUUCCUUGGACAGAACAUCAGAUUCCUGAGUCUUUUCUUUUGUUGUUGUUGUUGUGAGUGUUUCCUCAGAACUCAAUAAUCUAACUCUGCUGAGCUUACAUGUCUUCAUUUUUCCGUCAAUAUAUAUAUAUACACACAAAAUGUUGUUAAGAAACAGUAAUUUACAGAUAAAAGCAAUUUUGCACAUCUCUAUGUUGCCUUGUUGAUCUCCCCCUUUUUCAGUUUAGACAGGAUCAGUGAUGAUCAGUCAGGGUGUUUCGUUGAACUCCAUCACCUGACAAUGAGACAAAUGCAAUGUUCUGAGUAAACAAUGCAAAUGUUCUCUAAGUUUCAUGAACAAUGAUUAUAUCUCUAUUACCUUCCCACAAACAGGGCAGUCCUCGCUUCUCUCCAUCCACUCAUAAAUGCAACCAAGGUGGAAAUGGUGAGAACACUUUGUAACAAUCUUCGGGUUCUCUGAUGUGUACUCUGCACAAAAAAAAAGAUCUGAUACUUAGCUUCUCUUCAACUGCAUUUACUGAAGAAGAAGAAGAAGAAAAUGAAUACCUUCAAGACACGUUGGACAAACAUCUUCAUCAUCAGACAUCACAUAAACGCCAUCAUUACCACCAGCAUCCAUAGUCUUUGACUUGAGAAUCCUCCGAGUGGAUUUAGAGAAGUCAUCUUUAGAAUCUUCACCAGAGACCAUAAGCUUAUUACUAGCCCAUUUGCUUCCUUCUACAGAGAAAGACUCAGAGUCCACAUCAGCAGCAUCAUGACUUCUCAAGGGCUCAGCCUCGUCACGCGAAUGACUUGUGCCCUUAUCGCGCCGUGAGACAAGCCGUGAACGGAAGAAGCCUGGAUCAGCAUCGUAAGGCAGAGGCCUUGGAGUAGAGUGGAAGGUGUUAGACAUAAAGUUAUCAUAGGAAGAAGAGGAAGUUAUGGAUACAGUGGUGGUGGUAGUAGCUUGUAAGGAGGAUGGGAGAGAGCGGGUUGUUUCGUUUCUUCUGAACAAAGUGAUAUACUGCCAGGAGAAAGAGAUCAAAAUAUUCAGAGGUCAACUUUAAAAACUAGUAGUUGUGAAAAAAAGAGAAACAUUACCAGGUUAAGUAAGCUGUUAACAAGACAUCUCGGGCACGGGCUGUUUCUAUUAAUAGAACUACUUGGGUUCGUGUAAUCCUCAUAGUCUUCGACACGGAAGCAAGAAGAAACACAUCCCAUUUUUUUUCUCUCUUCUUUCUUGAAAUGUUGGUUCCAAUAUGUUUCUUCAACUCAAGAACUUGGAGGCAAAUUGCUUUGAAACUCACCCACAACACUGAGUUUUACUAAAAUCAUAAAGUUUGAAACUUUUAGUAAAGCUCCUUAAACUUAAGCAAAUUGCUUUGAAAUUAACAACACGGAGGCUUGUACACGUCUCCAACGGUUUCUGCUUCGUUCACAAAAAAAGGAUGUAUCCGUUGAUAAAUUAGCAAAAACUGGGGAGUGAUUCAACAAAAUUGACAAUAGAGAUAUUCCCUGCAAGAGACAUAAAACAUUCACCUAACUCAGCAGCAACAUAAAGGUUGUUCCUUUGGACAAAGAAAAAAAUAGAAAAGUCGAGGCUUUGCAUUAAGCAAAUUAAACAGUCGAAAGUUGAAAUCUCUAAUUUAGGUAAAUCCCUAACAAACUCAAUAAAACAGAGAAACAUAUAUUAUAAAAAAUAACCCACUUAAAGUUAAACAAAAUCGUUGACUGAUCAGGAUCGAUCAGAGCUCAUUAUCCUCAGAAGAACAUAUAUAUUUUUUUUUUUUAAACAGAGGAAUGGGAACGAAGACUAUACCUUUAACGAAGAACUAAAUUGGGUUUUCGAAUCCGAUCGGCCUAGACGGAAAAAAAAAGAGAGAAAGAGAUGGAGACAAAGAACCGACCAGAGGAGAGGACCCAGGACCGCCGGUGAAAUUCCAAUUUUGAAACAAAACCAAAAAAAAAAAAAAUAAAGUUAGAAGCACAAUAAUAAGCUUUAUUAGAGGAAUUUCCUCAGUUUUUAUAUUUUAAAAAAAGGAAACAAUUCGUCAGCGAGAAGAAGGAUUGAAGAAAAAGUGAGAAGGGGAGUGUGAUGAAGUUGGUGGGAAGGUGGGUGGGCCUUCUUGCUGGCUGCCAUUAGAGUGUGAAGUCUUUAGUUAUUAAAACAAUAAUUACAAUAUGGUUUUUCUUUUCAGAGCAAAGUUAAUUGAAAAAUGCCAAAAAAGACUUCUAAAUAAGUUGCAAUUAUUUUUGGUUGUAAGUGCAUAAUUGUAGAUUUUUUUGCAUUUUUCCAAAUACUUGCAUGUAUAUGUUCUAUAAACACUUGGGUGUGACGCUAUGAUAUAAUAGUGUUAAUUAUAUAUUCUAUAAACAGCUGUGUAAUAGUGCUGCUACUAAGCAAAUUAUUGUUAUUCUUUCCACAUCAAGGUUGAACACACGACUUUUUUUAUCUCUACCCAUUUUAAUCUUUCUUUUGUAAUUUAAUACAUUAGCUUUCACUGGUGAUUUAGAAAAUAGUGGUGUAGUACAUUUCUUUUAGAAAUGUAUACAACAAGAUUCGAAGGCAGAGAAAUCAUCACGGGCUAUGUUCAACAAAUAGUUGGGCUUUUUAGUCAAUCAGCCCACAUCAAAGAAUGGGUAAGACAUCAAACAUUCAACUAUGUUUUUGUUGAAUUCAAUCUUUAAGAAUUUACUGCAUCCGUUUCGUAUUAAUUGUCGUUUUAGAGAAUUUUUUUCGUUACAAAAUAAGUGUCGUUUUCGAUUUUCAAUGCAAAAUUUAUUUUUCUAUUGGUUGAAAUAUGGUUAGGUGUAUAGGUAAUAGUGUUUUUUUUAUAGGAAAUGUACAAAAUUAAUUGUUUUCUUAAUCUAUGUGCCGAAACCUAAAACGACACUUAUAAUAAAACAGAGGGAGUAAAUUACAAAUUUUCUGAACUAUUUUUACUUUAACAUGUGAAUUGAUUAAAGGAUCCCUUAUUGUGAAUUUUUGUCAACCUUUUCAUAGAUUUUACACAAUCCUGUGGUCGAUCUAUAAUCCGUUUCAGUGCCUUUGUUUAUUCUCGUGAAUGUCUGAUGAUUUAGCAUAUACGGCGUCCUGUGGAAAACAAUCUGAUGUAAAAAUAAAAAAAAGGUAAAAAUAAAAUUCCAGAAGAACAUUCACAUUCUUUGAUAUUUUUUUAAAAAAAUUUCUCUUUAUCAAGAAUGAUUAUUUAUAUACACACAAGAAGACAGUAGUAAGAAUUGGGUAUACUAUAUGGUUUGUGUGGACAUCCUUUGUGUCUCGUGAAUCGACAGAGACUCUCCAACUGUAUUCACUUCCCCAUUCUCAUUCCCAUAAUGCUUCACUUUCAUAAAUUCCAGUUCUUGUUUCCGUUGUUAAAGAAAAGAAAAAACUACAGUUACUCAAGUCUAGUUAUCACACUAGUCUCAUUGGUUACAUCUAUAUUUCACGAAAUCUAAAAAAACAUGUAUAAAUCAAAUCAUAUGCGAAAAAUCCUACUCUUCUAAGAAUGCUUUUGUUAAUAUGUAUUUGUAGGUACGUGUAACUUUAACAAAACUACAAGCAUAUUGCAUCUACUUUGUAAUUUUGGAAUAUUGCUUCGAUAUAUUCAAAUCUGCUUGUUAGACUGUCACUGAUAUGGUAAGAUUGUACUCUUCCACUUUUAACCAAGUUUUAGUGGUAUAGGAGCUCCAGCUGGAGUGACCGCCCCUGGGUUCGAGCCUUAGCCACUGCGGAAUUUACAUGUGGGCUACAGCACCCGAGACCGAAGACCGUUACACGGUGAGCCACAUGGUGACGCCCUGGCAGCGUCCAUGCUCACUUCGGUCUCUAGUCUGAACCACUUCGGUGGGUUCAGGAUACUCGGUUUUUAAAAAAAAAAAAAAAAAAAAAAAAAAAAAGAUUCUUGUUUUCUUGAUAGCAUUAUGAAACAAAAUAUAAACAGAUCAUAACAUGUAUCUUGGUAGUUUGCAUUAGAGUUAUUCUUGUGUAAUCAUCUAGAUCCAAGCUUGCUAAAAUGCAUAAUGCUUGCUAUUAAUAAAAAGGAAUUAAACUAAGAAUAUUUUCUUCGUACUACCAUGAUCUGUAUUUAUAUCUUUAGGAAAAUUAUAUUUCAUUAAAGAUAAUAACGUGGGGAAGAUAUUACCAUGCAAGGAUCAAUCUAAUCGACACGCGAACGUGAAUCCAAAUAUUGUUUGUUGUCUUUUUCUCACCUCUUACUAUUUUCUUACAAUAAUUUAAGCUUUUAGAGCUGUGGAAAGAUAAGAAAUAUUAGUCACAGGACACUAUAGUAGCUUUGUAGUUUGGAAGCUAGACUUGUAUUUUUCCCAUGAUUCACAUUAACAAAACGAAGAGAUAAGCUUUUGCUACAAUCUCAUCUUUUUUUGUGGCUCACUCAUCUUUACACAACAACUCUAUAUAAAUCCCUCACUCCUCGAUUACCCUCUGUUUCAUAAUAAAGAGAUAGAGAGAGACUUAUUCGAUAACUAUGGAGAUAACAACGACCUUCACGGUUUGGUUUACUCUUACCAUUUUCUUAGGAAUCUCUAUCAAUGGAGGUUUGUCUCAAGGACAGCAACAUCUUGUGAAGAAGACACGUUCUUCUGCGGUUGUAGUAGGAACUGUCUACUGCGACACUUGUUUCAACGGUGCCUUUUCGAAAUCACACAACCACUUGAUCCCAGGUUUGUUUUUUCAUUUCAUUUCUUGAUUGUGUUUCACCGGUUCUUGUUUAAGAUAUCGAUCGGCUAAAGUCAGUUUGUUUGAUCUUGUUGCAGGUGCUGUAGUUGCAGUGGAAUGUAUUGACGAGAACUCUAAACCGAGUUUCAGACAAGAGGUGAAAACAGACGAGCACGGCCAAUUCAAAGCAAAGCUACCCUUCACUGUGAGCAAACAUGUGAAGAAUAUCAAGAGAUGCUCUGUGAAGCUGCUAAGUAGCUCACAGCCUUAUUGUUCUAUAGCUGCUUCGGCGACUUCCGCUUCUCUCAAACGUCUUAAAUCGACCAAACACGGGGAGAACACUAGGGUUUUCUCUGCAGGGUUCUUCACUUUCAAACCGGAGAAUCAACCAGAGAUAUGCAGCCAGAAACCGAUAAAUCUCCGUGGAUCCAAGCCUCUACUACCGGAUCCAGCUUUCCCUCCACCGAUCCAAGACCCGGUUCCAAACAAUCCUUCCCCUCUCCCAAACCUCCCAAUCGUUCCUCCACUCCCUGACUUGCCUCUUCCUCAACUUCCUCCUCUUCUUCCUCCAGGACCACCACAGAAACAAGCUUCCUUGCAUAACAAGAAAGAAGGUUCCUUGGAUGACAAGAAAACGGAAGUACUAAAACCUGAUUUCUUCUUUCCUCCAAACCCGGUCACGCCUCUCCUCCCUCCCACCCCGCUUAACCCGCCUCUCCUCCCUCCCAACCCGCUAAACCCGCCAGGUCUCAUCCCUCCAAACCCUCUCAUUCCUUCUCCACCAACUCUUCCUCUCCCACCUCUACCGUUUCAACCGCCUCCUUCCGGGUUAAUCC